ACCAAACAUGUUCAUGCGUGGCAUUGCUCAAGUCAUCAUCAUUCGAGACAGAGAAUAAGCCUUCAAGUGUCUGCUGAGUCAAUGAACCUUUCUAGAUAUCUCAAGUGUAAUGGAAAUUGAUGAGUUACAAAGGAUUUGUAAACAUUUUCUACUGGAGGCUAGAAAUGCUUCAAAUAAAUGACCGUGUUGCAAUUAUUUUGUAGGAUCAAAGACUCUGCAAAGAGGUAAGAAAGUCAUCAUCAAGUAACUUUGCUCUUCAAACUUUUUAUUUUUAUUUUUAAAUAUCAGUAAUAACUGGGAAAGCUUGCAUCUCCUUAAAUUGCUCAUUCUUACAUCUUUUAUAGUUUGUUGAUCUUGGGCAAGUGGAGAGAGAGGCGUCAAGUGAUACGCAACAACCAUUUUCUGUGAGCUGAUUUGAUAAAGAGAAAUGGUAUGCUUUCUUGUCUUAAGCGGUGUGUUCUGCAAUUAUUUGAAACAAAGGAUGCCGCACUUCAAGUUCGAGAAAAUCAGGUAUUUUAGUAUUUUAUUCUUGAGAAAUUUGAUUUAUGUAGAAACUUGAACAUGUAAAUAAAAUAAAUAAAAUAUAUUAUAUGCUGUUAAUGAGUUAAUAUGGUGCUUGCUUCUAGUUGGAAAUUUAUGUAGUCAUCUACCUAUGAUCAAAUAAAGAUGAAGAAUAAAAUAUAAUUGAGAGCAUCUUCCUCUCCCCUGCUUUGCUCAUCCCUUGUUCUUCCACUUCAGCCCCACUAUUACACCAUUUUUUCAGCCACAAUUAUAAUAGCUCCAUGAGCAUUAAGUCCUUUUCAAAUUCUGCUGACAUUCAAAAUUGGAAUUUGCUGGUGAUAUAUGAUAGCAUCUUUGUCCGACCAAAAAGAGAAAAAAAAAAAGUUGAUAGCAUAUUGUACCAUUUUGGCCAGUGUACGCAAUAUUAUUGCAUCCAACUUUGCAUAUUAACAUCAGUGGCCACAGUUCCAUGAUUUGAGUGCACAGAAAAGUUUCAAAAGUUGUCCCACAAAGAACAGUCGUUCAAAGUGAAAGAGAGAUUUCAAAGCUUAAUUACAAGUUCAUGUUAUUUACAAUAUCAAAAAGCUUUCAUACUUGCUUACAAACCUGUAUUUCCAAGUUCUGCAAACCUUGGAAUAUCACUUCAUCCAAAUCCCCUUCCAAAGCAGGAAAAAAUGGCAGCAGCUUUGAUUGGAGAGGCUCUCAUCUCUGCUUCUAUCGUGGUGUUGUGUGACAGAGUUACUUCAGCCGAGUUCAUAGACUUAUUUCAGCAGAAGAAACUUGAUGAAACACUCCUCAUGAACCUGAAGACGACACUGUUGAUUUUGUUUGCGGUGCUCAAUGAUUCAGAGGAGAAGCAAAUUGUGAACCCUGAAGCUUUGCGAUGCAAGCUGGAAGGUGAGGAUCAAACCCACAAUAAUUAACCAAAAAGGAUCUUUUUGAUUGUUUGAAAGGAGGGUCUUGAUGAUUUGAAAGGAGAGGGUUGCUUUAUUUCUGUUGGAUGCUUAAUUAAAUCUUAUUUGGAGUUGAACAAGGAUUAGGUUAGCUGUAUAAUUAGUGGUAAACGCCUUUUUCUAAGGGUCAUUUAGACUCCUAUUACGAUUAAUUUGUUGUUUCUAAUUUGGACUUGUAGGAACAGACCAAAUAUGUUCACACGUGGCAUCGCUCAAGUCAUCAUCAUUUCAGACUGAAAAUCAGCCUUCGAGUGUCUGUUGAGUCAAUAAACCUUUCUAGAUAUAUCAAGUGCAAUGGAAAUUCAUGAGUUACAUAGAGAUUUUUAAACAUUUUGAAGAUUGCAACACCUGCAAGUGAGAUAGGCGGUGACGAAAUCAGAGCUGAUUUUGAAGCCUCUGAUGCCCCUGUUGUUGCAAGUUGCACCUGAGAACAAGUUUUUUUUUUCUUUGGGGUAAAAAACUGGCAACAUGUUCGGAGCUGACAAUUCAAUCCCUGAUGAACUAGAGAAGCAAAGCUCCGGUAAGGAAAUUGGUCAAGGUUGUGACAGGGAUGAUUGAUGGUGAAAUGGAUGCUAUUUCUUAUUGCAGCCUGUUCUCAAAGUUCUUGUUGGCAAAUGCAAUUGAUGGAGUAUUUUGAUUGGGAGGAGAGAUAAUGACAUGGCUUGACAAUUCUAGAACAGCCCAUCAUUAAUCCCAGAAAAAAUCCCGUUUCUGCUAAACAAUCACUUAUGGCAAGGCCAACUCUGUAAAUGGAAUUUGUGAUCCCUUCAAAUUGUACACAUUUUUUCUUUUUGAGGAAUUUAAUCAAACAGUAUUCUAAUGCAUUAUGAUAGCACUACACGCUUUUGUUGUAACAAAUUACAAGGAGGAAUUUGGAUUGAGUUUCUUGUAUAAGCACACCUUACACAAAUUUCGUAUAUUUUCUUCCAGCAAGUCUGUUUAUUAACCCCCUUAUCUGAAAUUAAUUGUUAAAAGUUUUGAUUCAUCUUUAAUCAGUGUCUUACCCUUGUUGAAUAACACUCCUCUUUCUAAUUUAUAUUUGAAGUUUGAGCUUUCAAUUUCAAUUGUGGGCUUUGAUUUUUCAGAUUUUGUUUGUCAAUUUCAGUUUGGACAAAGCAUAUAUGCAAACAAAGUAAGCAUUUUAUGUUAUACUUUUGAACUAGGUGUUGAUUUGAUUUAAUCAUAAGUUUUGCUGGUGCAUUUACUAGGCUAAUCAUUCAAUACUUUUGAUCAUAGAACUUCUUUGGUUGAUAUUAUCUUUGUUAAGUUUAACCAUAACUUUAGAGAGGGGACUUCAACAGAUUUAUAAUCUCAUCAUUAUAGUAUUAAAAAUUAGAGAUUAUUUAAGGCAUUGUCUAUUAUCUGAAUUCUGCUUACUUUUAGUUCAUAUGUUUACAUCUUAGCAUAUUCAUGUGAUUAGUGCGGCUCAUACCACAAAGGCAAUUUUAGGCUCAUCAAGUGCUAAGCAAUGUCAAGCUUCCAAAUGACAAGUUCUCUACAUAGUUUGAGACCUACACUUACUAGAUAUUAGAUCAUUUCGAUCAUUUCCAUAUGUUUAUAUGUAAUUGACAUGUUAUAACAUUUUUGUAGCGUUAUAUAAUUAUUUAGCAAUUUAAUUAUUUCUUUGCAACUUAAUUUUUUUUGUCAAUCAUACUAUUGUUGACUGCUAAAAACCAUCAAGAAAUAGUUCUCAAGUUAUAAAAAAAAAAAAAUUUUAAAAAAGAUUUGUUGAUGCUUAAAAAGCAUCAAGAACAGAUAGUUUCUUGACGGUUUUGUGACAUUUCAUAACUGUAGGGGGCUUUUUCUUCCGACAGCUGUAAAUGGGCUGGGCUGCCGUAAAGGGCAGACUGAUGAAAUUGUCCCCUUUUGUAUGAGCUCAAAAAUUAAGCCCCAAAAUACUUUGAAAGGGCAGCAGAGCCUUAGGAAGUAUUUUGGUUACCCUCACCAACUAAAACAACAACAACUUACAGGUAAUUACUUAAUGCUUAUGGAUGAACUCUUGAGCUUGGCAUGAGAGACAUAUGGCAUGGAAGCAAAAUCAACAUGAGUUUAGCACUGAGGGGAAAUUUAGGCUCUCUUGGGGGAAAAAGGGAAGUGUUAAGGUGAGAGAGGAGAAGUUUGUAGGAGAUUUAGCUAAGAAAGGAGAAAUAUAGAACAAUGCUCUUUUGGCAGCUUGACAGAUGCUCUGUUUGCCAGAAAAGGAAGAUGGAGAAGAAAUGUGAAUAGUGCAAGAGUUUGCUAGAUUUUUGCAGGUAAGAGAGGAAGCUUGCUCUCUGGGUCUGAGUUGAGUUUUUUUGUGUGGAAGAGACCUCAUUUUAUAGCCCUUGGAAACCAUCACUUCCCAAGAAACCCUAAUGGCUUCUACCCAUUUUGGCCAAGCUUUUCCCUUCCUUUCUCAUUUCCUUCCUUGACUUUACCCCUCUUGAUGAAAUCCCCUCUGCCUAUUUGCACCAUAUCAGAGUUUUUUGAAGCUCAAGGCCCCUUUUUCCCGCAGUUGUCUCAAUGGGAGACUUCCAUUCCCAGUCAUCUCCUUUAUUGCUUUCCUUUCUUUUUUUCAUGGCCAAGUUUGGUGGGGAAAGGAGUUGGGAUAUAUAUGCUGGUUUGAAGGGUGCUUCUCUUCCUGGCAUCUUACACACUAAUACCCCUUGGUUCCUUGAAUGUUUUGGCUUUGAAACUUGCUCUCCCCCCCCCCCCCCCCCCCCCCAUGUACUGGAACCUACCAGCAGCUCUAUUCAAUGAAUCUUCAGACCUUCUCUUCGUGGCUUUUAUUUUUUAUCAACGGGCUGGGGCUUUUGUGGCUCAUUGUGGCAAUUGUAUGGGCUAAGGUGGUUCAUUAAGUAAGUGGGCUAUUUUUAUUAAACAUUAGGCUUUUUGGUUGAGUCACUAGGCUAUUUUGAUUGGGCUAUUGGGCUAUUUUUUUCCUCUCUUGUGCUCACCCACAUGUUUGGACCAAAGAAAUGAGCUUGAGUCCUGAGGCUCCCAAGCGACCCGAGACUUUCCAUUUCUGGCCCAUCAAUGGGCCUCAUGUUGAUUUAUUACCAUCCAUACCACAACCCACUCAAGCAGGCUCCGGGCAUUUGAAUGACUUGGGCGCACUUAGGCUUGUAGUGUGGUUGGGUGCGAAAUAACGAUUUCGUGCUUGGCAUGUUUUAAUUUUAUCAUCCUUGGGAAAGGCUGCGAUGUUUGAUUUCGGCAUGGGCUUGUAGAGCUGGUAUGCUUUAUUUCAACUCCUAGCAUGACGAAUUAUUUAUUUAGCAUGGCACGUGAAUUACAACUCGCAUGUGGUGGGUUUUUGUGUACUACACCUUACGCCUCUUCUUAAUAGAACAUCGUUUUGGGCUGAUAAUUUAUUCGGGCCAAACCGUGAAUUUUUUGGGUCUCAAUAAUAACCAUCAUGAAACAUUACAUUUUGACUGACGUCAAGAAAUGGGGUAUCCCUUUCCUGAUAGUGGCAUCCAUGAUGCCUUCCAAGCAGUCAAUUAAGGGCUAUCGUGAUGCAUUUUAGUUGUCAGCAAAAGGUGUUUUUCUUGUACUGUAUUCACUCAAAGUCGUGUUUCAUUUAAGAUUAGUAGUAUGGUUGAAUACCAUUUGUUUUGUUAAAGAAUAUUAUACAUUAGGGAUUUUUGUAGAAAUGUCAUUUGAACUUAUACCUUAGUUUCAAUUUGUCACCUUGAAGAAAAAUUUAAGAGAAAUGUCACCUUAAUUUUUAAAAAUCCAUGAUUUGUCAUAUGACUUUAAAAUCAUCCAAUUUUCCAUCCAUUUUAAGGGUAUUUUAGUCUUUUCAUUUUGAAGGAAAAAAAAGAGAUGAAAAAAGAGACCUCUCUCUUACUUUGUCCCUCAACCCAACCCCACCCGCCCCCCAAAACACAUCACAUAGGAUUGCCUCCCCCUUCCCCACUUUUCUUUUUUCUUUUUGUCCUACUUUUCCACUAUGUUUAUGUUGAAGGAUCUAAAGUUUGCUUGGUCACCAUCUGUUACGUAGGCUUCCCAAUUGUUAGUUUGGGUGGGUUGUGGGAAUUUGUGUGCUCGAAACCCGAGACGAAUCUUGUGGAAUUCCCGACAUCACACCGAUGCCGGGCCCACUUCUGAACUAAAUUCUCUUUUCCAAAAUUAAGGAAAAAGAGUACGAGGCUUUCUGCCGAAAUUUCGACAGAGUAUUCCCUAUAAAUUUAACAUUUCAGCUUUGGUGGCCGUUCUCUCAUUUCAGCUUUGGUGGCCGGAUGAGAGAACGGUCGGCUAAAACGUGGCCAGCUGGCACUGCCGUCGCGAGAGAGAGAGAGAGAGAGAGAGAGAGAGAUUUUUAUCAAAUCAUUUUUGCCAAAAUUACGAUUAUGCAACUGAGGGUAUUUUGAUCGUAUCUUUUUCAUUAUAACUCUGAUUCAAGCCCACUACGUGUUUACGGACUCAUCUCGCCGUGCUCUAUGCAAUUGUAUAGUUGAAAUUCCCAAAUUCCACCCCAGUCAAAAAUUCAACUUUAAACCCUACAAAAUAUUAUAGGGGCAAAAUGGUCUUUUAUCUAAUUAAAUUAAUAAUUGAAAAUUUAUUUAGGACCGGGUUGUUACACUGUCGUUGAUGGACUGUGCGAUGACACUCACACAAAGUCCUUGAGAAUAAAACACACACACACCAUGAAGAGAGUAAAACAAAUACACAAGUACACAAAGAUUUAUAAAGGUUUGGCCUUCUGCCUACGUCCUCUUGGUGAUCCACCCGAGAAAUUCACUAGUACGUAAGAACAACUUUGGUUACAACUAAACCCCCUUAGCUUUCAUAAGAACCCUAGAUCUCUUUUCUCCCACCCUUGCUCCAACCCUUUGAUGCCCUUGUAAACACUCAAGAAUUCACCCUUGAAUUCUGUCAUGUGUUACAUCUUCUCUUCUCCCCUUUGUUAACCUAACCCUAAAAGUUAUAUUUAUAAUUCAUAGGACUUUAAGUACAAGUUAACUAGGAAUAGGAAACAUAAUAGACCUCAAAAAUUGGAGAAAAUAUGUUUAGAUCUCGUUAGGAAAUUGCACAACACGUGCGAUCCGCUCGAGCGCCUGCAAAAUGAUCCCUUUGUCGCUCAAGCUGCCGAUAGCUCAUGGGAUGGGGGAAUUAGAGAUUUUUUUUUUUUUCAAUUUUAAUUGUUUAAAAGAUAUACAAUUUUUUAAUAAUAAUUUUUCCAUUUUUAAAAUACCCUUGAAAAUAGAAAGAUUAAAAUGCCCUUAAAAAUGGAUGGAAAAUUGGAUUGCGUUAAGGUCAGUUGACAAAUCAUGGAUUUUGAAAAAUUAAGGUAACAUUUCUCUUAAAUUUUUCUUUAAAGUGACAAAUUAAAAUUGAGGUAUAAGUUCAAGUUACAUUUAUGCAAAAAUCCUUAUACAUUAUGAUAUUCUAACAAUAAAAUUGGCUAAAAUUGAUAUGUUCCCUCUUUAUUUUCUUUUUCUCUUUUCCUUUUCAUUUUAUGAUCCAAUCCUUUUCAUAUAUUUUUGUUCAAGACUUUGUUUUAGAAUGCUCUAUUACUAAUUUGGUACAGGUCCCUAAAAUCUCGGAGCCGCCUUAGUACAUUCAUAAUGUACAUGUUCAGAGUUCAAGAAUAAUGUAUAGAAUGUGAAAUUGACGAUGCCGGCCUUUAUGAGGCAACGUCUUUAUUUCUUUGGUUAUUACAGUUUAGAAUAUUUGCACAAAUGAGAUGAUUCCAAGCAUAAAGUCACAUUCGACCAAAAAGCAUGAAGUCACACACAAAAAGAACACGGACAAUUGCUAAGUUUAUCCUUGUACCCUUAUUUUAUUGAUCCGACCCAAUUGAAAAUUAAAAAAAGAUGAUAAAAAAUAUUGUUCACUACUUUAAAAUCUAUGAGUAGAGUCCUCCAUUUGAAAUUUCGUCAUUAUACAAAAUUGGAAUGAAAAAAGAAAAUCCUACAGCUAAAUUUGAUAUAUUUCCUUUUCAUUUUAUGCUGGGUGUUAGGGCUUGUCAAUGGGCCGGGCUAGGCUAGCCCGGCUCAAAUUUAAUGGGCUUGGGCUAGGCCGGGCCAAGCUUUAAAGAGGAGAGAGAAAAUAUCCGGCCGAGUUUUUUAAGAAAAUUCAAAGCCCAAGCCCGAAUCACUGCUGUCUAGCCCGGCCCAAAUUUAAUGAGCUUGGGCCAGGCCGAGCCAAGCUUUAAAGAGGAGAGAGAAAAUAUCCGGCCGAGUUUUUUAAGAAAAUUCAAAGCCCAAGCCCGAAUCACUGCUGUCAUUUCAUUGAUUUGUGACGAGCACAACCACCAAAUCAGAAUUUACUCACGAAAAUAUCAAGUAUGUCUAGCAAAUUUCAAUUUUGAAUAAUACACAAUUUCAAAAGGAGGACAUGUUGCAAGACAGCAUACCUUCUCUUGGGGUGCUUUUCAUUUUGCAACAUUUCUUUACGUGUAAUUUCCAGAGGAGGGUUUAUCAUUGUAUAUAGCUUUUCGGGUGGUUUGUCUACAAAACAAAUGUCACAAAGAAGGAGGAGAAACGGAAAAGAUUUACUUGGAAUGUCUCAAGUCUCCUUUGAGAUAAAGGCAUCGAAUGCACAACAUUGCUUUUGUGCUAUUUCAUAAUUAAAGUGUGCUUCCCAAGUCUCCUUUGUGUUUUGUAACUUGUAAUGUUUGUUUUUUUGUUUCCCCUGUUUUCCCUCUUAUAAAAGAAAUACAGGUCCAAACCACACGGAUCUACUUGCAUAAUAAUGGACCAAAUUUAUGAUUUUUAGAAAGAACCUUCUGCCGGUGGAAUCUUGGGCUACUGUUGUGGCUCUCCUCUGUGUGCCUCCUUUUUAGAACGGUAAAAUAUUCAAAAUACUAGAAAAUGUUCGUGAUUAAUAUAAAUAUUAAGAAUUGAAAUUAUUAAUUAAAUGAGGAUAAUAUGGUAAAUUCACACUUUUUUAUAUUAAAAAAAUUAAAAUUAAAAGAAAAAUCAGAUAAUUGAUAUUAUUUUUAUGGAACACAGCUACUCAUUAUCUUUUUUAAUUCUAAAAUAAAUUUAAAUUAAAGAAAAAAACCCCUCUCACAGGCACGGAAGCGCGUGCUCAGAGGCUAGUUAAAAAUAAUGAACUUUGCUUCUGAAGACGUCUAUACCAGACCCACUCAACCUGCUUUAUGAUUAUACAAAGAACAAACUCGUCCUUAGACUCAUUUGGUUAAACUUAGAAAAUAAUGAAACAAAAAUAUGCACUCCCACAAGUAACACAGCCAGGAUUGAAAACAACUGGACAAAGAAAGGCAUGUUAAAACAGAAUUUUCAACAACUCAUCACCAUUAGACAAGAAAAAGAAAAAUCAAUACAAAAACAGAAAGAACAGAGAAUAAAUGUGGUGGAAGAAAAACGUUGAAGCCAUUUGUGAAUCCAACAACACUACCACUCUGUUUCUCUCCUUUUGUUCAGGCGGAUCUGCAUAUAUCCUAAGGCGUAUUACGGAAACAACUUCUUGCCGUUAUACUUGAAUGUUGUGGAUGCUUCAACGUUGCCAUCUGGGUGGAGUGGAUUUGUCCAAUUCACCUUCACUAUGGUAUAUACGUCCAAAUUGUUGUUAUUUGAAAGGCUUCUAAAUUUUAACAUUUUGAUUUUUAAAUUUUGUUUAAAUAUUUCGGCCCACUUAGUUCUUCUCAAAAUAUGUCAUCAAUAUCGUUGAAAGGUUGAACUUAGUGAAUUAUUAUAGUGCAGUACUGUAGAAUAGACACAUGAUAUAAUUUGUCCACAUGUUAUAAUAUAAGUAAAUAUUUAUUGAUAUUAUUUCUAAAAAUAAGAAAUAUCAACCAUUAUAUCCUCCCAUAUUAUAAUACAUAUACAAAUUAUACCACAUUAUCAUACUCUAAUACCAUUUUAUAAUUUCUCGUACUUAGAGCGAGUCAAUGACAUUACAUAAUAUAUAAUUGUUCAUAUAAUGGGGCAACUAACGUGAUCAACAAGUUGUGGUGAUUAAUUUAACAUAAUAAAAAAUAUACCAUUUACUUGAGUGAUGUAACAAUUUGUUCUUUUAAAUUGGAUUGCCAUCACUUUAAUAUGAUAUGUUUCUUAUUAUAGUGUCCCAUGUUAAGUGCUUCAGCAUUGUUUGUGGUGUGUACACAAAUUUUCUUAUAAAAUGUUUUAAUGCUUCUCACAUGUAUAUCAGAUAUAGACAGUUGAUGUGACUUAGAAAUCAAAUUGUCAAUAAAGCAAAAAAAUAUAAUUGGUGAUUGAGGUCCAAUUUAAUAGAAAAUAGUCUUAACUUGUAUAUUAGAGGUUUCAGAUUCGAAUCCUCACUGCAUUAUUGUUGUAUACGUACACGAGAAAUCCUCUUCUCCAAUAAUUUAGACUAUCACUUAUACUAAAAAAAUAUAUAUAUAUAAUGACUUUUACGGAUGCAAACAUAAAAUUACACCAAACAAUAAUGGAAUAGAAAGAUGCAAGUUAUUUUUUUUUUUUUUACAUCUAAAGUAUACUUUAUAUAUAUAUUUAUUAUGGGUGUUAUAACCGUUUAAUUUUCAGUUUUUAUUUUCUAUUUAUUGUUUUAAUUUUUAUGGUUUAAUGUGUAUGAAGAUUACAAGUAUUGGAUGUCUACCACUCCUCCUUCACAUCUGAAACAAACCACCAUCUCAUUUCUGUAUUUUCAUACUUUCAUAUAUUUUCUACUUUCCAGAUUAUUAUUUUUGGGCAACGGUUCUGUGACUUGCAGAUUUCUAUCCGAUUGUUAACAUGCUCAUAGCGGACCUUGAGCUUGCGUAUUGGGGAUCGUAUCUUGGAGCCUUAUAGACCUUUAUUACCUGCAUGUAGGGAGGUUAUAAAUGCUUUAGGUCAGCAUCUUUGACGUGCUUUUGCUUUCUUUUUUUUUUUACUUAUUUCUUCGUUUCUUUAUUUUUACUUUACUUUUAAAUUUUUAUUUUAUGUAUUAUUUAUAUUUAAAAGUUUUGAAUAAGAGUUUUACAGAAAAGGAAAAACACAAUUUCAAAUAACACAAAUUUCUCGUUUUUGGUUCUUAAAAUAAAUGAAUUUUUUACUUAUUUGUGAACUGAAAUGCCUCUAAAAAAAUAAUGAUAGUUUGAAGAAUUUGAUAGAAAUUAAAAAAUAUCCUCAAAUUACUUGGAAUUGAAGACCACAUAGGCAAAAACACCAUUUUGGACAAAGGCUGGUGAUAAUAGUCGAUAUCAUCUUUAAGUACUUUAAUAUGAUAUGUUUCUUAUUAUAGUGUCCCAUGUUAAGUGUUUCAGCAUUGUUUGUGGUGUGUACACAAAUUUUCUUAUAAAAUGUUUUAAUGCUUCUCACAUGUAUAUCAGAUAUAGACAGUUGAUGUGACUUAGAAAUCAAAUUGUCAAUAAAGCAAAAAAAUAUAAUUGGUGAUCGAGGUCCAAUUUAAUAGAAAAUAGUCUUAACUUGUAUAUUAGAGGUCUCAUAUUCGAAUCCUCACUGCAUUAUUAUUGUAUGCGUACAUGAGAAAUCCUCUUUCCUAAUAAUUUAGACUAUCACUUAUACUAAAAUAUAUAUAUAAUGACUUUUACGAAUGCAAACAUAAAAUUACACCAAACAAUAAUGGAAUAGAAAGAUGGAAGUUUUUUUUUUUUUUCCUACGUCUAAAGUAUACUUUAUACAGUCCCGAUCUCUUGGACCACAGGAGUCCAAGAGAUUGUGGUCACCCACCGUUGGAUAUUAAUCCAAUGGUUCAAAAUGAUAUAUAUAAAUGCAAUAUGACAUAAAUGAUUAUUACCCGAUCCAAGUCAACCGUUGAAUUUACAUUCAACGGUGGGUGACCAUAAAUCUCUUGGACUACAGGGGUCCAAGAGAUCAGGACUGAUACUUUAUAUAUAUAUAUAUAUAUAUUUAUUUAUUAUGGGAGUUAUAACUGUUUAGUUUUCAGUUUUUAUUUUCUAUUUAUUGUUUUAAUUUUUAUGGUUUAAUGUGUAUGGAGAUUACAAAUAUUGGAUGUCUAUAAAGGGCCACUCCUCCUUCACAUCUGAAACAAACUACCAUCUCAUUUCUGUAUUUUCAUACUUUCAUAUAUUUUCUACUGUCCAGAUUAUUAUUUUUGGGCAACGGUUCUGUGACUUGGAGAUUUCUAUCCGAUUGUUAACAUGCUCAUAGCGGACCUUGAGCUUGCGUAUUAGGGAUCGUAUCUUGGAGCCUUGUAGACCUUUAUUACCUGCAUGUAGGGAGGGUACAAAUGCUUUAGGUCAGCGUCUUCGACGUACUUUUGCUUUCUUAUUUCUUCGUUUCUUUAUUUUUGCUUUACUUUUAAAUCUUUAUUUUAUGUAUUAUUUAUAUUUAAAAGUUUGAAUAAGAGUUUUACAGAAAAGGAAAAAUACAAUUUCAAAUAACACAAAUUUCUCGUUUUUUGUUCUUAAAAAAGAAGAAGCAUUGAUUGGGGAGUUAUGGUAAACUCAAUUUCAAUGGUUGCGAUGAGAGGCGGUGGCGGCGAGGAGAGGACGAAGGCUUUGCUGCCGACGGGGUGGUGUGGGUGGGUGGAGACCUCGGCUGGCUGCUUGGUCCUGGGUUCUCCUUUAAUUCUCUGUUUUCUUUUUUCUUUUUCUUUUUCUCUUAGAGUUAUUGAUGUUAAGUGAAUGGACAGAUGCCAAAAUAGGGACAGAAGUAGGGGUGGGCAUCAAUCCGGCCGAUCCGGUCAAUCCGGCCGAACCGAUUAUAUUGGAUUGGUUUGGUUUGGUUUUGACCAAAGAAAAAGUCAACAUUUUGAAAAACCGAACCGAACCGGUUUGGUUUGGUUCAGCUGUGGUUUGAGAGUUUUAAAAACUGUCCUAAACCGAACCGGACCGAUUAUAAAUCAAUUUAUUAUUUAUUUAAUUUAGUUUACAUGUGGCAAGGUUUGUGUGCGUUUUGUGAGUCCGCGUAUCUGAAUGUUGGUGCACGUUUUGAUCUUCUAAUUUGCAUAUCCCAGUUAUUUGUGUGUGCUUGUAUUUCCCUCUCUUUCUAUCUCUACUAUGUGUGUUUGCUCUUUGUGUUGUGUGGCUCUUCUUACUCUAUCUAUCUUAAUUAAUGGGUCCAUUUCAUAAUUUCAUACGCAUUCAAACUCCACCUCUGUGAUAAAAACAUUUACCUCUUUGUGAUAAAAGCUUUUCAUUUGUUUGUAUUUCUCUUUGGCUUUUUGACUCACUCACUGUCUUUCUUUCUUUUAAUGCUACUUGUGAUGAAUGCAAUGAGUAAAUUUAAUGCUACUUGGUUAAUGCAAAUUUUGUAUAUGUUUGUUUUGAUGGAAAUUGUGAACUUAGAUGCAUGCUAGACAUUGGACAACCUUUGAAUAAAUGGAAUGAUGUUGUAUUAGCCUUUGAUGGAAUGAAAUGAAAUGAUAUAAUGGCAAAAUGUUAGCAUUAUAAUGUAAGAGCAGGUUGAAAAAUGCAUGGUUUUGUGUUAGGCACAAACCGGCCGAACCAAUCCGAACCAAACCGAUUACAAGUGGUUUGGAUUGGUUCGGUUUCCAUUAUGAUUUUAGGCUAAUCCGAACCAAACCGGACCGUUAUUUUCUUAUUGGUUCAGCUGUGGUUUGAGAGUAAAACCGAACCAAUCCGGACCGUGCCCACCCCUAGACAGAAGAUGUGAACCCAAUUAUAUACAGCUGAUUACAUAAAGUAACAAAUUAAUUAAUACUUGAGUGGAGGACAGGCUUGAGUGGAAGAAUUGAUUAAGGCUUGAGUGGAAGACCAACUUCAGUGGAGGAAAGUAUAGAUAAGGAAAGCAUGCCUCGUUUAACGGCUUUAUCUAAUAAAGAUUAGUUGUUGGCACUUGGAGUUUCUUAGGAAUGCUGGUUUUGUUUCCUUGGUGGACUUGAAAGGUGGUGCGUUGGCUCGGACAUCUCCCUAGUAAUUAAUCGAAGGUGGAAUCUUACAAGACAUACAGCUGCUCAUUAGCUGAAUAUCUCGCUCUCUUUAAAGAGAUCGAAGCAAACUGCAAUUUGCAAUUUGUGUGAUUCAAGCAUGAAUAUCUGAUAUAGUAACUAUACCAUUUGUUGGUUUGAUAAGAAAAGUUUGGUUAGCGAGGAUGAAACCAUAAAGUUCUCCAAAACACACAAAAAACACGAACAAUUGCUAAGUUUAUUCUUGAGUUCACACAUAUUUGUACAAAUGAGAUUACUCCAAGCAUGACUAUACCAUUUGUUGGUUUGAUAUGAAAAGUACGGGCAACGAGGAUAAAACCAUACAAACACACACAAAGAACGUGGACAAUAUACUAAGUUUAUCUUUGCGUUAUUGAUCCGACCUAACUGUAAAAUAAAAAAGAUAAAAAUAUAUAAUGUUCACUACUUAGAUCUAUGAGCACUAAAGUCCUCCUUUUGAAAUUGCACAAAACAUCACUUUUGGUCUUUGGUAAAUUUUUAAAAUAAAUGAAUUUUUUACUUAUUUGUGAACUGAAAUGCCUCUAAAAAAAUAAUGAUAGUUUGAAGAAUUUGAUAGAAAUAAAAAAAUAUCCUCAAAUUACUUGGAAUUGAAGACCACAUAGGCAAAAACACCAAAUUGCAACCUCACUUUAAUGAUAAAAAUGGUAAACUACAAAGACAAAAAUGACGUUUUGCCUUAUACAUAAUUGGAAUUUGCUGGUGAUAAUAGUCUACCAUCUUUUGUCGAUUUGCUGGUGAUAAUAGUCUAUCAUCUUUUGUCGGUCCGACCUAAAAAGAAGAAAAAGUUGAUGGCAUCUUGUACCAUUUUUGCCAAUGUGGGCCCAAACAAUUUGAAGAAGUCCACCGGCAAUUUCUCAAAAGCUAUUGUGUGAGUGUGAAGCUAAACCAAUAUUAUUUUGCAUAUACGACUCCACAUCCCCAUGUGAUGUGAGGCUACAAAAGUGUUUCCAAAACGAAAUAUGAUAUUUCAAAACGAAGCUAUGUAUAGAGUCAUUUGUAUUUGCUUUCACAAUAACAUUUGAUUUGUGAAAGCAUUUUAUAUUUAUACAUUCUGAUAUUCUAACAAAUAAAUUGACUAAAUUUGGCCAACAGGAUUUAGCCGAAUAGAAAAGUCCUUAUUUAUAGACUAGUGGUUUCAAAUUUAAAGUUUAGACUAUCGCAUGUAUUUAAAAAAAAAAAAACAAUUGGCUUAAUUUGAUAUAUUUCCUUUUUUUCCUUUUUCAUUUUAUACUGGGUGCCGUUAUUAAGUUUUAUCCUUAUUUUUUGUUGAAAAGAAAAUUGAAAAAAAAUAAUAAUUCCUACAGCUAGCAACUUCUCCACCUUCCCUUCUUCGCAACUAGGGAUGCCAUUGCAAGGUCACCAUCUCAGAUUAAGUCCUCCUUUUAAAAUUGUGUCGUUAUUCAGAAUUGGAAUAUAAUCCUGUACCACUUUGGCCACUUUUGAAGAUGUUCACCGACAAUUUCUCAAAAGCUAUUAAGCUGUACAUCCACAAUAUUAUUGCAUCCAUCCCCAUGUGAGGCUACAGAAAAAUUUUGAAAACGAAACUGGAUAUUUUAUCUCUAACAACAGCUUUCAUACUUCGUUUACCCUGUGUUUCCAAGUUGUGCUAGCUAUUUGCAAACCUUGGAAUAUUACUUCAUCCAAAUCCCUUGCAGAGAAGAGCAAGAUAUGGCUUUGAUCGGAGAAGCCCUCAUCUCCGCUACCAUCCAGACGUUUUGUGACAAAAUUGCUUCGCCUGAGUUCACCGACUUAUUUCGGCAGAAAAAGCUCGAUGAACAACUCCUCAACAAGCUGAAGACGACGCUGUUGACCUUGUCCGUAGUGCUUAAUGAUGCAGAGGAGAAGCAAAUUAAGGAACCUUUAGUGAGAGACUGGCUUGACAAUCUCAGACAUAAUGUCUUGGCUGCGGAGGACUUACUGGAUGAGAUCGACACUGAAGCUUUGCGAUGCAAGCUGGAAGAAGGUGAAGGUCAAACCCACAAUUUAACCAAGAAGGUACGUGAUUUUUAUCAACGCAUGAAUGUUGAGAUGAAAGAUUUAUUAGAAAGAUUAGAACAAUUUGUACAAGAGAAAAGUGCUCUUGGUUUGAGAGAAGGUGCUGGGAGGAAGGUUUCACAAAGAAGAACAACUUCCUUGGUUCAUGAACCUUGUGUCUAUGGUAGAGAUGAAGUCAAAGAAAAUCUGUUACAAAGAAGAGGAUUUGCCGUCAUCUCUUUCUCAUCUGAGUAUCUCGCGGUGUCCUGCCCUGGAGAAAAGGUAUAAGAAUAAGACGGGACAAGAUUGGGCAAAGAUAUCUCACAUUCCUUGCAUCAAGAUAGGAUACGAACUGAUCAUAUAAUAUGAGCUAUUCCAUAUUUCACUCUCAACCCUCAACUCUCAAAUCAAAGUCAGGUGAGGUAUGUGCCUUCUCUUACUUUAAAAAACUGCUUCUCUUCUUCUAAUUGAAUACAAAAACCAAAACACAUAUUCUCUUUCUCUUCCAAAAACCCAAAUACAUGUUGAACAUUGCCAAAUUUGAUCUCCAAAUUCCUAAUUAUUUCACGCUUUUUGUUAUUUUGUUGCUUAGUAAAUUAUGGUUGCUGGUCACAAAUUAUAGUCUGUUAAUAGGUUCAUGCCAUGAAUUAAUCUUUGGACUUUCCCAGGUACUGCAGGUUUGUUAUUAAUGUUGUGGCCUGAUAUUCGUCGUAUCAAUAGGUUGUCUUACGUUGAGGAGAGAGAUCGAUCAGCAAUUACAAAAUUGUUAGUGAAUUUAGCUUGUUUAUCAUCUCUCUCCUUUUGUUUGUUAAGUUUGGUUGUUCUAGGUUAAACCCUUGUCCCCGCAUUUCACAGCAACUCUAUGUUAUUCCACUCUGUUUAGUUUCAUUUAUGUUGUGAUUCGACUGCUGCUGUAUUUUAGAUUUCGUUCAUGUAAUGCUAGGAUGUUUAAUCUCUUAUCUGUGGUGGUAGUUGAGUAGUCUAGCUAAUCCAAUGAUAACUUGUCCCCUGUUUUGUAUUGUUUUUAUUUCUCUGGUAAUGAAAGCACGUUUCUUAUAAAUAAAUAAAAAAUAUUUCAUUGAUAUUCAUUGCUUAUUUUGAACUGCAGAAGCCUACUUUUGUCAGAGUCAGUAGAUGCCAGAAUGAAGUCAUUGCCUAAACACAUUGGCACCCUCACAGCCUUCGACAUUUUGGGAUAUAUGAUCUUCAAAAUCUUGUGUCAUUUGCCUCCCAACCUGCAAUAUUUUCAUAUUUUAAAUUGUGACAGACUGAGCCCUUUGGUGGGAGAUUACUGGGGUUUGCAAGGACUUGGUGGCAAUAUCUUGUAGACGUUUCUCAAGGAACAGCUGCUCAAUACCACUCUUCACACUCUAUAUAUUAUGGCCUGUCAGUCUAUAAUUCCUGCCAGGAGAGGAACUUGAACGCCUCUCUUCGCUGCAAAGGCUACAUAUUUGUGGGUGUGACAAUAUCCAAUUCCUGCCAGAAGAGUGUUUGCUGCCAUCUCUUUCUUAUCUGUGCAUCAACCAUUGUUUUGCCAUGUAGAAAAGGUAUCUCACAUUCCUUGCGUCAAGAUAGGCGAAGAAGUGAUCAUAAGAUAUGAGCUCUCUCUCCCUCUCGCUCACAUACAAUGUACUUAACACAAACACUCAAUCUGAUUUCUAUUAUUAUUUUGCUCAGUAAAUUUUGUUUAAAUUUGCUUUAUUUCUCAUUGCACUUGUUCUGCUGAUCACAACUUAUAUCCUAUUUAAAUCUCAAAUGCUGAAUAAUGAGCAGUCUUUUCGCAGGACAACAUAUCUUCUCUUGGAGAGCUAUUCAUUUGCAAGGUUUCUUUAUGGGUCAUUUCCAGAGGAGGGUUUACUAUUUAAUAGAAAGGUUCACCUGGAAUAUCUCAACUGACACAUUCCCAAAUACAGGCAUUGAAUGCACAACAUUUUGAGGUACUAUUUUUGUAAUAAAAAUGUACUUGAGUCUCAUUUGAGCUAGUUUAAAUUGUAUUCAAUGUCUAUGGAUAACCUGUGAGCUUAAGUUGUAAGAUAAAACUCACAGUAUAUUAUUAGGGUUUAGGGUUCAACUGUUCAACAGGUGAGCUUAAGUUGUACUUUCCUAGGUACUGCAUGUAUAUAAUCUUAGUAUCAACACUUGGUCUUAUGUGGACAAGAGAGAACAUUUGAGGAAUUACAAAAUCUUCUUAGUGAAUUAAUGUUGUUUCAGCUCUGUUUGUCAUCCCUCACAUUUUCUUUGUUAAGCCUUGAUUUUUUAUUAGACAUAAGAAAAAAUGCUUUUAUAAGACAGGAGAUGAAUGCUUUUAUAUGUUGAUGUCGUAGUCAGUCUUCAACCACACUCUGUUUUUAGAAUUCAUUUAUGUUACUAGUUGAGUGCUGCUGUAUUUUAUAUUUCGUUCCUGUAAUGUUUGGAUGUUUAGCUUGAGCAGUCUAGCUUAUCCAGUAGAUAACUUGUUCCCUGUUUUGUAAUGUUUUUGUUUCCUCUAAUGAAAGCAGGUUUUACUUAUCUUGAACUGCAGAAGCCUACUUUUUGACAUAGGUGGCAUGGCACAAACUCGCAUCCGCAUUUCCUUCCCCAUUGGCAUGCUGUCUCAUCUUUUGUAUUCUGUUACCAGCUUGAAGCUUGUGUAGACAUGUUAUGCUCUUGUAAUUCUGAUCACAAACAUCACUUGACAAAUGGAAAGUCACAAUCAGAUCUUUCAGGUGAUCGGGAGGUUUACUUUCUAACAUUUGUUUUCAUUGGGGGGAGGACAACAAUACAGAAUUUAAAAUUUCUGAUAAUCAAUAGUAGUUUGCAUAUAUCAGCUGGGACCUGUAUGACUGUAUUAUGUAAUUAAUUAUUUCUCUUAUUGUUUUGGUACUGUUAAAAGGAGUUAGCCACAAAAUAAAAAAGGAGGCCUCUUAUUUCAUACAAUUUUUCAAAAGUGAUCAUUCAUCCGUUUCUUUUUCAACAAUAGAGGAAUGUAUACUAAUCGUCUGGUCCAUCUGCUGCUUCACUCCCUAGUAGCUUCAUCUCCUGUCCUUUGCUUUAUUUCUGUUGAUGAAUGUUUUGUCUGGGUUAUUUAUUUUCAUUUCAUGUCCAUUGCUUCAUUUCUGUUUGGAUUCUGUCCUGGACUUGAACAAGGGUUAGGUUAGCUGUAUAAUUUGCGGUUUUAUAUACACAACUGUCUACAUUGAUUAAAACCAGCAUUAUUCUAAGGUUCAUUUAGAAUGUAUUAUCACCAAAAUUAUAAAGUAUACUUCUAUUACAAUUAAUUUGUUGAUUCUAAUUUGGACUUGUAGGAACAGACCAAACAUGUUCAUACGUGGCAUUGCUCAAGUCAUCAUCAUUCGGGACAGAGAAUAAGCCUUCAAAUGUCUGCUGAGUCAAUGAACCUUUCUAGAUAUCUCAAGUGUAGUGGAAAUUGAUGAGUUACAAAGGAUUUUUAAACAUUUUCUACUGGAGGCUAGAAAUGCUUCAAAUAAAUGACUGUGUUGCAAUUAUUUUGUAGGAUCAAAGACUCUGCAAAGAGGUAAGAAAGUCAUCAUCAAGUAACUUUGCUCUUCAAACUUUUUAAUUUUAUUUUUAAAUAUCAGUAAUAACUGGGAAAGUUUGCAUUUCCUUAAAUUGCUCAUUCUUACAUCUUUUAUAGUUUGUUGAUCUUGGGCAAGUGGAGAGAGAGGCGUCAAGUGAUACACAACAACCAUUUUCUGUGAGCUGAUUUGAUAAAGAGAAAUGGUAUGCUUUCUUGUCUUAAGCGGUGUGUUCUGCAAUUAUUUGAAACAAAGGAUGCCGCACUUCAAGUUCGAGAAAAUCAGGUAUUUUAGUAUUUUAUUCUGGAGAAAUUUGAUUUAUGUAGAAACUUGAACAUGUAAAUGAGAGAAAAAAAAAUUUAUAUAUAUAUAUAUUAUAUUGUAUAUGCUCUUAAUGAGUUAAUAUGGUGCUUGCUCCUGGUUGGAAAUUUAUGUAGUCAUCUACCUAUGAUCAAAUAAAGAUGAAAAAUAAAAUAAAAUUGAGAGCAUCUUCCUCUCCCCUGCUUUGCUCAUCCCUUGUUCUUCCACUUCAGCCCCACUAUUACACCAUUUUUUCAGCCACAAUUAUAAUAGCUCCAUGAGCAUUAAGUCCUUUUCAAAUUCUGCUGACAUUCAAAAUUGGAAUUGCUGGUGAUAUAUGAUAGCAUCCUUGUCCGACCAAAAAGAAAAAAAAAAAAAGUUGAUAGCAUAUUGUACCAUUUUGGCCAGUGUACGCAAUAUUAUUGCAUCCAACUUUGCAUAUUAACAUCAGUGGCCACAGUUCCAUGAUUUGAGUGCACAGAAAGGUUUCAAAAGUUGUCCCACAAAGAACAGUCGUUCAAAGUGAAAGAGAGUUUUCAAAGCUUAGUUACAAGUUCAUGUUAUUUACAAUAUCAAAAAGCUUUCAUACUUGCUUACAAACCUGUAUUUCCAAGUUCUGCAAACCUUGGAAUAUCACUUCAUCCAAAUCCCCUUCCAAAGCAGGAAAAAUGGCAGCAGCUUUGAUUGGAGAGGCUCUCAUCUCUGCUUCUAUCGAGUUGUUGUGUGACAGAGUUACUUCAGCCGAGUUCAUAGACUUAUUUCAGCAGAAGAAACUUGAUGAAACACUCCUCAUGAACCUGAAGACGACACUGUUGAUUUUGUUUGCGGUGCUCAAUGAUUCAGAGGAGAAGCAAAUUGUGAACCCUGCUGUGAGAGAGUGGCUUAACAGCUCAAGCAUGCUGUCUUUGAUGCAGAGGACUUACUUGAUGAGAUUGACACUGAAGCUUUGCGAUGCAAGCUGGAAGGUGAGGAUGAAACCCACAAUAAUUAACCAAAAAGGAUCUUUUUGAUUGUUUGAAAGGAGGGUCUUGAUGAUUUGAAAGGAGAGGGUUGCUUUAUUUCUGUUGGAUGCUUAAUUAAAUCUUAUUUGGAGUUGAACAAGGAUUAGGUUAGCUGUAUAAUUAGUGGUAAACGCCUUUUUCUAAGGGUCAUUUAGACUCAUAUUACGAUUAAUUUGUUGUUUCUAAUUUGGACUUGUAGGAACAGACCAAAUAUGUUCACACGUGGCAUCGCUCAAGUCAUCAUCAUUUCAGACUGAAAAUCAGCCUUCAAGUGUCUGUUGAGUCAAUAAAACUUUCUAGAUAUAUCAAGUGCAAUGGAAAUUCAUGAGUUACAUAGAGAUUUGUAAACAUUUUGAAGAUUGCAACACCUGCAAGUGAGAUAGGCGGUGACGAAAUCAGAGAUGAAGCCUCUGAUGCCCCUGUUGUUGCAAGUUGCACCUGAGAACAUGUUUUUUUUUCUUCUUUGGGGUAAAAAACUGGCAACAUGUUCGGAGCUGACAAUUCAAUCCCUGAUGAACUAGAGAAGCAAAGCUCCGGUAAGGAAAUUGGUCAAGGUUGUGACAGGGAUGAUUGAUGGUGAAAUGGAUGCUAUUUCUUAUUGCAGCCUGUUCUUAAAGUUCUUGUUGGCAAAUGCAAGAGAUGGAGUAUUUUGAUUGGGAGGAGAGAUAAUGACAUGGCUUGACAAUUCUAGAACAGCCCAUCAUUAAUCCCAGAAAAAAUCCAGUUUCUGCUAAACAAUCACUUAUGGCAAGGCCAACUCUGUAAAUGGAAUUUGUGAUCCCUUCAAAUUGUACACAUUUUUUCUUUUUGAGGAAUUUAAUCAAACAGUAUUCUAAUGCAUUAUGAUGGCACUACACGCUUUUGUUGUAACAAAUUACAAGGAGGAAUUUGGAUUGAGUUUCUUGUAUAAGCACACCUUACACAAAUUUCGUAUAUUUUCUUCCAGCAAGUCUGUCUAUUAAACCCCUUAUUUGAAAUUAAUUGUUAUAAGUUUUGAUUCAUCUUUAAUCAGUGUCUUCCCCUUGUUGAAUAACACUCCUCUUUCUAAUUUAUAUUUGAAGUUUGAGGUUUCAAUUUCAAUUGUGGGUUUUGAUUUUACAGAUUUUGUUUGUCAAUUUCAGUUUGGACAAAGCAUAUGCAAUCAAAGUAAGCAUUUUAUGUUAUACUUUUGAACUAGGUGUUGAUUUGAUUUAAUCAUAAGUUUUGCUGGUGCAUUUACUAGGCUAAUCAUUCAAUACUUUUGAUCAUAGAACUUCUUUGGUUGAUAUUAUCUUUGUUAAGUUUAACCAUAACUUUAGAGAGGGGACUUAACAGAUUUAUAAUCUCAUCAUUAUAGUAUUAAAAAUUAGAGAUUAUUUAAGGCAUUGUCUAUUAUCUGAAUUCUGCUUACUUUUAGUUCAUAUGUUUACAUCUUAGCAUAUUCAUGUGAUUAGUGCGGCUCAUACCACAAAGGCAAUUUUAGGCUCAUCAAGUGCUAAGCAAUGUCAAGCUUCCAAGUGACAAGUUCUCUACAUAGUUUGAGACCUACACUUACUAGAUAUUAGAUCAUUUGGAUCAUUUCCAUAUGUGUAUAUGUAAUUGACAUGUUAUAACAUUUUUGUAGCGUUAUAUAAUUAUUUAGCAAUUUAAUUAUUUCUUUGCAACUUUAUUUUUUUUGUCAGUCAUACUAUUGUUGACUGCUAAAAACCAUCAAGAAAUAGUUCUUAAGUUAUAAAAAAAAAUUAUAAAAAAAAAGAUUUGUUGAUGCUUAAAAAGCAUCAAGAACAGAUAGUUUCUUGACGGUUUUGUGACGUUUCAUAACUGUAAGGGGCUUUUUCUUUCGACAGCUGUAAAUGGGCUGGGCUGCCGUAAAGGUCAAGACUGAUGAAAUUGUCCCUUUUUGUCUGAGCUCGAAAAUUAUGCCCCAAAAUACUUUGAAAGGGCAGCAGAGCCUUAGGAAGUAUUUUGGUUACCCUCACCAACUAAAACAACAACAACUUACAGGUAAUUUCUUAAUGCUUACAGAUGAACUCUUGUGCUUGGCAUGAGUGACAUGUGGCAUGGAAGCAAAAUCAACAUGAGUUUAGCACUGAGGCGAAAUUUAGGCUCUCUUGGGGGAAAAAGGGAAGUGUUAAGGUGAGAGAGGAGAAGUUUGUAGGAGAUUUAGCUAAGAAAGGAGAAAUAUAGAACAAUGCUCUUCUGGCAACUUGACAGAUGCUCUGUCUGCCAAAAAAGGAAGAUGGAGAAGAAAUGUGAAUAGUGCACGAAUUUGCUAGAUUUUUGCAGGUAAGAGAGGAAGCUUGCCCUAUGGGUCUGAGUUGAGUUUUGUUGGGUGGAAGAGACCUCAUUUUAUAGCCCCUGGAAACCAUCACUUCCCAAGAAACCCUAAUGGCUUCUACCUAUUUUGGCCAAGCUUUUCCCUUCCUUUCUCAUUUCCUUCCUUGAGUUUACCCCUUUUGAUGAAAUCCCAUCUGCCUAUUUGCACCAGAUCAAAGUUUUUUGAAGCUCAAGGCCCCCAUUUUCUUGCAGUUGUCUCAAUGGGAGACUUCCAUUCCCAGUCAUUCUCCUUUAUUGCUUUCCUUUCUUUUUUUCAUGGCCUAGUCUGGUGGGGAAAGGAGUUGGGAUAUAUAUGCUGGUUUGAAGGGUGCUUCUCUUCCUGACAUCUUACACACUAAUACCCCUUGGUUCCUUGAAUGUUUUGGCUUUGAAACUUGCUCCCCCCCUCCCCCCAUGUACUGGAACCUCCCAGCAGCUCUGUUCAAUGAAUUUUCAGACCUUUUCUUCAUGGCUUUUAUUUUUUUAUUAACUGGCUGGAGCUUUUGUGGCUCAUUGUGGCAAUUGUAUGGGCUAAGGUGGUUCAUUAAGUAAGUGAGCUAUUUUUAUUAAACAUUGGGCUUUUUGGUUGAGUCACUAGGCUAUUUUGAUUGGGCUAUUGGGCUAUUUUUUCCUUUCUUGUACUCACCCACAUGUUUGGACCAAAGAAAUGAGCUUGAGUCCUGAGGCUCCCAAGCGACCCGAGACUUUCCAUUUCUCGGCCCAUCAAUGGGCCUCAUGUUGAUUUAUUACCAUCCAUACCACAACCCACUCAAGCAAGCCCCGGGCAUUUGAGUGGCUUGGGCCCACUUAGGCUUGUAGUGUGGUUGGGUGCGAAAUGACGAUUUCGUGCUUGGCAUGUUUUAAUUUUAUCAUCCUUGGGAAAGGCUGCGAUGUUUGAUUUCGGCAUGGGCUUGUAGAGCUGGUAUGCUUUAUUUCAACUCUAGCAUGACGAAUUAUUUAUUUAGCAUGGCACGUGAAUUACAACUCGCAUGGGGUGGGUUUUUGUGUACUACACCUUACGCCUCUUCUUAAUAGAACAUCGUUUUGGGCUGAUAAUUUAUUCGGGCCCAACUGUGAAUUUUUUGGGUCUCAAUAAUAACCAUCAUAAAAUAUUACAUUUUGACUGACGUCAAGAAAUGGGGUAUCCCUUUCCUGAUAGUGGCAUCCAUGAUGCCUUCCAAGCCGUCAAUUAAGGGCUAUCGUGAUGCAUUUUAGUUGUCAGCAAAAGGUGUUUUUCUUGUAUUGUAUUCACUCAAAAUCAUGUUUCAUUUAAGACUAGUAGUAUGGUUGAAUACCAUUUGUUUUGUUAAAGAAUAUUAUACAUUAGGGAUUUUUGUAGAAAUGUCAUUUGAACUUAUACCUUAGUUUCAAUUUGUUACCUUGAAGAAAAAUUUAAGAGAAAUGUCACCUUAAUUUUUAAAAAUCCAUGAUUUGUUAUAUGACUUUAAGAUCAUCCAAUUUUCCAUCCAUUUUAAGGGGAUUUUAGUCUUUUCAUUUUCAAGGAAAAAAAAGAGAUGAAAAAAGAGACAUCUCUCUUACUUUGUUGCCCAACCCAACCCAACCCCACCCGCCCCCCAAAACCACAUAGGAUUGCCUCCCCUUUCCCCACUUUUCUUUUUUCUUUUUGUCCUACUUUUCCACUGUGUUUAUGUUGAAGGAUCUAAAGUUUGCUUGGUCACCAUCUGUUACGUAGGCUUCCCAAUUGUUGGUUUGGGUGGGUUGUGGGAAUUUGUGUGUGGAGGGCAAGACCCUAUCUGACAGGACCUGCCUCGAAUUCCUCGAAACCCGAGACGAAUCUUGUGGAAUUCCCGACAUUACACCGAUGUCGGGCCCACUUAUGAACUAAAUCCUCCUUUCCAAAAUUAAGGAAAAAGAGUACGAGGCUUUCUGCCGAAAUUGCGGCAGUGUCUUCCUUAUAAAUUUAACAUUUCAGCUUUGGUGGCCAUUCUCUCAUUUUAGCUUUGGUGGCCGGAUGAGAGAACGGCCGGCUAAAACGUGGCCAACUGGCAUUGCCGUCGCGAGAGAGGAGAGAGAGAGAGAGAUUUUUAUCAAACCAUUUUUGCCAAAAUUACGAUUAUGCAACUGAGGGUAUUUUGAUCGUAUCUUUUUUGUUAUAACUCCGAUUCAAGCUCACUACAUGCCUAUGGAUUCAUCUCGCCGUGCUUUAUGCAAUUGUAUAGUUGAAAUUCCCAAAUUCCAUCCCAGUCAAAAGUCAACUUUAAACCCUAUAAAAUAUUCUAGGGGAAGAAUGGUCUUUUAUCUAAUUAAAUUAAUAAUUGAAAAUUUAUUUAGGAUCGGGUCGUUACACUGUCGUUGAUGGACUGUGCGAUGACACUCACACAAAGUCCUUGAGAAUAAAACACACACACACCGUGAAGAGAGUAAAACAAAUACACAAGUACACAAAGAUUUAUAAAGGUUUGGCCUCCUGCCUACGUCCUUUUGGUGAUCCACCCGAGAAAUUCACUAGUAUGUAAGAACAACUUUGGUUACAACUAAACCCCCUUAGCUUUCAUAAGAACCCUAGAUCUCUUUUCUCCCACCCUUGCUCCAACCCUUUGAUGCCCUUGUAAACACUCAAGAAUUCACCCUUGAAUUCUGUCAUGUGUUACAUCUUCUCUUCUCCCCUUUGUUAACCUAACCCUAAAAGUUAUAUUUAUAAUUCAUAGGACUUUAAGUACAAGUUAACUAGGAAUAGGAAACAUAAAAGACCCCCAAAAUUGGAGAAAAUAUGUCUAGAUCUCGUUAGGAAAUUGCACAACACGUGCGAUCCGCUCGAGCGCCUGCAAAAUCAUCCCUUUGCCGCUCGAUCUGCCGAUAGCUCAUGGGAUGGGGGAAUUAGAGAUUUUUUUUUUUUCAAUUUUAAUUGUUUAAAAGAUAUACAAUUUUUUAAUAAUAAUUUUUCCAUUUUUAAAAUACCCUUGAAAAUAGAAAGAUUAAAAUGCCCUUAAAAAUGGAUGGAAAAUUGGAUGGUGUUAAGAUCAGAUGACAAAUCAUGGAUUUUGAAAAAUUAAGGUAACAUUUCUCUUAAAUUUUUCUUUAAAGUGACAAAUUGAAAUUGAGGUAUAAGUUCAAGUUACAUUUCUGCAAAAAUCCUUAUACAUUAUGAUAUUCUAACAAUAAAAUUGGCUAAAAUUGAUAUGUUCCCUCUUUUAUUUUCUUUUUCUCUUUUCCUUUUCAUUUUAUGAUCCAAUCCUUUUCAUAUAUUUUUGUUCAAGACUUUGUUUUAGAAUGCUCUAUUACUAAUUUGGUACAGGUCCCUAAAAUCUCAGAGCCGCCUUAGUACAUUCAUAACGUACAUGUUCAGAGUUCAAGAAUAAUGUAUAGAAUGUGAAAUUGACGAUGCCGGCCUUUAUGAGGCAACGUCUUUAUUUCUUUGGUUAUUCCAGUUUAGAAUAUUUGCACAAAUGAGAUGACUCCAAGCAUAAAGUCACAUUCGACCAAAAAGCAUGAAGUCACACACAAAAAGAACACGGACAAUUGCUAAGUUUAUCCUUGUACCCUUAUUAUCCGACCCAAUUGAAAAAUAAAAAAAGAUGAUAAAAAAUAUUGUUCACUGCUUUAAAAUCUAUGAGUAGAGUCCUCCAUUUGAAAUUUCGUCAUUAUACAAAAUUGGAAUGAAAAAAGAAAAUCCUACAGCUAAAUUUGAUAUAUUUCCUUUUCAUUUUAUGCUGGGUGUUAGGGCUCGUCAAUGGGCCGGGCCAGGCUAGCCCGGCCCAAAUUUAAUGGGCUUGGGCCAGGCUGGGCCAGGCUUUAAAGAGGAGAGAGAAAAUAUCAGGCCGAGUUUUUUAAGAAAAUUCAAAGCCCAAGCCCGACCCAUGAGCCCGGCUUGAGAAAGCCCAUCGGGCCGGCCCGGGCCUAAACAGGCCCUACUUCGUUAAAAAAAAAUCAUAAACUUAAUCAUAAGGUCAUUUUAGUCCAAAUUUGAGAUUAAACUCACUUAAUUCCAAUAUUUUCACUUCAAACCAAAUUCAUAAAACACCCAAUAAAGUCACACAGCUUGUAAGAUUUUCCACAAAAAUAAUAAAACCAAGUACUAUUUUUGAGGUUAUUACAUAAUUAGAUCGUAAUAUGUUUUAAGAAAUAAUUUUAAAAAAUAAUAUUAAUAAGUAUCAAAAAAAUAAUUUUUUAAAGGAUGGUAUGAAUAAAUAUGCAAAUAUUUGGUGAUGUGUUCAAGAAAAGGAUGAUUAUAUUUGGUGGUACGAUUAUGUUUCGUGAUAUGAUUAUAAUUAGUGAUGUGAUAUGUUGUUCAUCUUAUAUAUAUAUAUAAUUGUUGAAUUAAUAAUUGACACAAAUUAAUGUGUUAAUCAUCCAAUUAUAAACUAGGAAUGAAUAAAGAAAAGUAAAUGAAAUGAAACAAAUUAUAUAUGUGAUUUAAGUGAUAUAAUCCUAAACCUAAACUCUUAUUUAUACAUAAUUAUAUAUGUAUGCGGGCCUAACGAGCCGGACUUUUGUGGGCGGGUAGGGCCGGGCUUUAUUGGGCUUAAUCGGGCUUUAUUGGACUUAAUCGGGCUGGGCCUAUAGGUCGGACCGAGCUUCAGACAUCCAAGCCCACGCCUAGCCUCGCCCGCCUUGGGCCGGGCCAUUCUUUUUUUGGGGUUCUAUUUCUCUUUGAAUUAACUGCUGAGUUUCAUGAACAUGUCCUCCUUUUGAAAUUGUGUAUUAUUCAAAAUUGGAAUUUGCUGGACAUACUUGAUAUUUUCGUGAGUAAAUUCUGAUUUGGUGGUUGUGCUCGUCACAAAUCAAUGAAAUGACAGCAGUGAUUUUGCAAGACAGCGUACCUUCUCUUGGGGUGCUUUUCAUUUUGCAACAUUUCUUUACGUGUAAUUUCCAGAGGAGGGUUUAUCAUUGUAUACAGCUCUUCGGGUGGUUUUUCUACAAAACAAAUGUCACAAAGAAGGAGGAGAAGCGGAAAAGAUUUACUUGGAAUGUCUCAAGUCUCCUUUGAGAUAAAGGCAUCGAAUGCACAACAUUGUUUUUGUGCUAUUUCAUAAUUAAAGUGUGCUUCCCAAGUCUCCUUUGUGUUUUGUAACUUGUAAUGUUUGUUUUUUUGUUUCCCAUGUUUUGUCUCUUAUAAAAGAAAGGCUUUUUAUCACAAAUGGUCCUUCAGGUUUACAAAAUUAUCACAAAUCGUCCUUCAAGUUUUUUUGUGACACUAAUAGUCCUUCAGGUUAUCAUUUACCCAUCAAAAUGGUCCUUCUGUCAGUUUCUGUCAAAACUGACGUUAAAUUCCUGUGCUCAGCCUGCUUUUGAAAUGAUAAUCUCAUCUUUUCCACUCAACCUUCAACCAAACUCAACUGUCAGAACCCUUUCCCUCCAUUUCCUCAUGGUCCUUCCAGUUUGGCGCCCCUGUAAUAUAUAACCAAUCUUAAAAAUUAAACUUCUGAAGAAAUUGAAACAAUCCAAGCUCAAGAGAAAGACCAACAAUUGAGAACUGCAGAGAAAGAUCAAACUCAUGGAUCAAUAUGGUAAAGCCAAAUUGAAAAACAUAAUUUGCUAAAGAUAAAGCCAAACUGAAAAACCAAACUGAAAAACAUAAAGAUAUCAUUGACAAAUAUAAAAAGUUAAAAAAUAUUGCACAAUCAAAAUACAACCACAUGUUUCACAAAACAAAACAAAACAACCACAUUUGCAGACAAGCUGUAGUUUACACUUUAACAAAGAUUAAAAAACUAACCUGUAUACUUUGGUUGUUUCCCCCCCUUUCGAAAGAACUCCUCGGACUCAUCCAUCUAGUCACUUUUGUAAGAAGAAUAAUGCGUAUUUGACUCUUACGAACCCAGAUAUUCCUUUUGCAGACCAGCUUUAUCAAUUAAAAACCCAAAAAACCUUAAUUGUGCAGGGCCCGAGGAUGAAAUGGAGGGAAAAGGUUAUAUAUGCGGUUUAGAGCGCCAAAAUGGAAGGCCCGAUGAAGAAAUGGAGGGAAAGGGUUAUUUCAGUUGGGUUUGGUCGAAGGUUGAGUGGAAUGAUGCGAUUAUCAUUUCAAAAGGCAGGCUGAGCACGCGACUUUAACGUCAGUUUUGACAGAAACUAACAGAAGGACUAUUUUGAUGGAUAGAUGUUAAACUAAAGGACUAUUAGUGACACAAAAAAACCUAAAGGAUGAUUUGUGAUAAUUUUGUAAACCUGAAGGACCAUUUGUGAUAAAAAGCCUAAAAGAAAUACAGGUCCAAACCACACGGAUCUACUUGCAUAAUAAUGGACCAAAUUUAUGAUUUUUAGAAAGAACCUUCUACUGGUGGAAUCUUGGGCUACUGUUGUGGCUCUCCUCUGUGUGCCUCCUUUUUAGAACGAUAAAAUAUUCAAAAUACCAGAAAAUGUUCAUGAUUAAUGCAAAUAUUAAGAAUUGAAAUUAUUAAUUAAAUGAAGAUAAUAUGGUAAAUUCACACUUUUUCAUAUUAAAAAAAUUAAAAUUAAAAGAAAUAUCAGAUAAUUACUCUUAUUUUUAUGGAACACAGCUACCCAUUAUCUUUUUUAAUUAUAAAAUAAAUUUAAAUUAAAAAAAAAAUCUCUCUCACAGACACGGAAGCGCGUGCUCAGAGGCUAGUUAAAAAUAAUGAACUUUGCUUUUGAAGACGUCUAUACCAGACCCACUCAACCUGCUUUAUGAUUAUGCAAAGAACAAACUCGUCCUUAGACUCAUUUGGUUAAACUUAGAAAAUAAUGAAACAAAAAUAUACACACCCACAAGUAACACAGCCAGGAUUGAAAACAACUGGAAAAAGAAAGGCAUGUCAAAACAAAAUUUUCAACAACUCAUCACCAUUAGACAAGAAAAAGAAAAAUCAAUACAGAAACAGAAAGAACAGAGAAUAAAUGUGGUGGAAGAAAAACGUUGAAGCCAUUUGUGAAUCCAACAACACUACCACUCUGUUUCUCUCCUUUUGUUCAGGCGGAUCUGCAUAUAUCCUAAGGCGUAUUACGGAAACAACUUCUUGCGGUUAUACUUGAAUGUUGUGGAUGCUUCAACGUUGCCAUCUGGGUGGAGUGGAUUUGUCCAAUUCACCUUCACUAUGGUUAAUCAACUAGACAGACAUAAGUCAGAAACAAUAGGUAUAUACGUCCAAAUUGUUGUUAUUUGAAAGGUUCUAAAUUUUAACAUUUUGUUGUAAAUGUGGAGAGAAAAAGUAGAGAAUUGGAAUAGAGAGGAGAGACUGAUUUUCUCAUUCAUAUGUUCAGAUGAAUGUCUUCAGUGUAUAUUUUACAAGUAGGGGGAGGUAUCUAUUUAUAGGCUAAGGUUUUGGUAAAAUACAGGGAAGGAAAGUUCCUGGAAGAUGCAAGGAAACUUCCUCUGUGGGCUCCACCUUCAAACUUUUACAACACUCCCCCUUGGAGACCACAAAUGAUAUGGAAUAUGCCUCGUUAAAAACCUUGCCAGUAAAAACCCAGUGGGACAAAAACUGGUCAAAGGGAAAAAGAGUACAUAAUGAUGUGUAACAUAAAAUUCUGUGUAUAUUGACGCGCGUGCGACACUGCCUCGUUAAAACCUUGCCAGGAAAAACCCAGUGGGAUGAAAACCUGGACGAAGGAAAAAGAGUACAGUGUUUGAAGAUCUUUAUUGAUAGCAUGCUCCCCCUGAUGCUUGGUAAAAUAUCUUUAAGUCAUACUGUUGAUCACCUUUCUGAAUAUCGUAGUUGACACUGCUGCUGUGAGUCAAUCUUGAGCGACACUGCCUCGUUAAAACCUUACCAGGAAAAACCCAGUGGGAUAAAAACCUGGAUGAAGGAAAAAGAGUACAGUGUAUGGAGGUCUUUAUGAAAAACCACGCUCCCCCUGAAAAAUAUCUCCCCCUAAAAAAUUUCAUGACUAGCUUUUCCAGUAUGCGACCAUAGAAAUUUUCAUAGUAUACUCUAAACCCUUGAGCGACACUGCCUCGUUAAAACCUUACCAGGUAAAACCCAAUGGGAUAAAAACCUGGAUGAAGGAAAAAGAGUACAGUGUGGAGCUGACCUCUAUCUGGUCUAGUAUACUUCCGGAAAAACAUUUAAGGUGUCCAACGGAUAAUCCUCAUAAAAAUGCUUCAAUACUUUCUUAGUAUAAGCAAGAAUCUCGUUGGCAUAAUGCUCGAUCUUUAAGUCGAGACAAAUAUUUCGUGACUUCUGCAGAAGCUUUAAUGUGUUGCAAACACAUUAUAAACAAUGUACUCACUGAGGUAAUUUAUGCAUAUUAAUAUUGAGUACAAAUUUUGUGCUUCAAGCACAUGUCCUUUAGGGACUUGCUUUAUGCAAUGUCAAUCCUCUCAACGGAUUUUGUUUAAAAGGGGAUUAAACUUUAUGACACAUUAUAUAGCUUUAACCCAGCUAUUUAUACAUCUUUAGGGAAUCACUUCAAGUGAUAUGCUCUGUGCAUUUAAUAACCCUUAAAGAUAACAUGUUGGUCUCCGUAAUUGUGCAGUAAGGGGGGAGGCACAAUUGAAUCUGUAAAUAUGGAAAAGACCCAACAUUCAUUGUUUCUGCCAGAAACAUUGUGUCAUACAAAGUAGGUAUAUUCCCUUUUAUUCCGAACACCCAAGUAUAAGUUUCAAUAUUAACAUCUUUUGGGGUUCGUACUGUGGGUUUGUUCUUUCACGUUCAUUCUCAUCUAUAAUGGAAUUACCUCUUUCCAUUUUGGCCAAUGAUAUUGUCGACAUCUAAUAAUUGAACGUGGUUCCAAUCAACACAGCCCAUUGAUGAUUUGAGUAGCUACUCCAAAACCAAAAAUUGUCAUUCAUCAAUUCAUUAUCCCACCAUUCUCAUGUGCAUGCGCAUGCAUCAAUUAUAAGCAUUUCUUUGCUUUUGGGUACCCAAGCCACUUCAGGGGGCUUUUAUUAUGUGAGAAUGUGGAUUAUAACCUCCAAUGGAGCGUUAUUUUGCAGUAGGGCGUGGAUAAUCUCCAUUUAGGGAGUUGGAACAUUUAGAACCCAUAUAUCUGUCAUGCUGCAGGCAUGCCACAGAUUAAUACAUACAUGUCAAUUAGUUUAUGGGACUUUAACCCAUAUGAUGGGACUUUAACCCAUGUAAUUUGCUACGCAUUCGGCGUGCAUAAUCUCAAUAUUGACAUGUCAAAGGAUUGUCCAUUCGGGACUUCAAUCCACAUCAUUUGCUACGCAAUAGGCGUGCAUCAUAUUGAUCACUGCUAUACCCAUAUUCUGUUCUUAUGGGACUUUAAUCUGUGCAAUGUAUUAUCAAUGUAUCCAACUUGCAAUCUGUAAAAUUUGCAUUAAUAAUACAUGGAUACAUACAAGCCAUUCUUUUGGGACGGACUUAUCUCCCCAUUUGGUUACCUUUCAAUAUAAAAUAUCAAAUAGGUAUAUAAGCAUAAAAUAACACAAGUAUUGCUUACAUCCUUAGGUGGGAGAAACUUUUCUCAAGUAUCGCUUGAUGAUCUUGUUAUAUCCUGCAAGAGCAAAAAUCACAAUUCCUUUCUCUGUCAAAAACAAAUAAGAGGAAUAGGUAGAACCGGUGAAUUUCAAAUUAACCAUAGGAAAAUUGCGAGAUUCUCGGGAUGCUUUUGAAAAAGUAGCUCCGUGAAAUCCGUAAAGCAAGAUUGGCUUUGAAAAUAAUACUUGAAAACGCCGAAAGUGCCGACAGGCAUUAUUAGAGGCCACGUGAAGUUUUGGACUUCUAGGAAAGAAAAAGAUAAUAUGGGGAUUCGAGAAGAUAUUGGGGUCUUGAAAAACAGUAGCCAUAUUUCCUCCUAUAGAUAUGGCCUUUGCAACAAUUGCGCACCUUCUUAAACUUGCACCUGUGGUUUUUACGCCUUUUCAAAAUGACGGUUUGGAACCUUGUGCCUUAUAGGUUCAAAUAACCACAUUGUUUCUCCCAAAUUUCAUAUUUUAUCGCAUGGUAGCCCGAAACUUUUGGCCUGGGCACAAAUUCAGAAUUUAUUUGCCCUUUUCAAAUGGACAUGAAAUAUGAAUUGAGUAAAAGCCAUGAUAAUAUCGCAAUAUAGUAGUGAAGAGCAUUAACUACUAUAUACCCACAACUUCAAGUUCAGGAUCUCUCAUAUAUUUGGAUCCAUGGGUUUCCGGCCCAGAUAUAACAAAAUAUGUGGGGAGCCUCAAUUCAUCAUUUGAGGUUCAUACUGAUAUUAUCCAUUUCACGGUGUAUUCUUGACAACCGGAAUUCACAAAAUAUAUUUCUUCCUUGAAGUGUCGAUUAUAACAAAAUCGAACUUUAAAUUCAUCAUCUUCUUAUGCCAAAGAAAUAUGUGGCAUACCACAAUUUGCAAUAAUACCUCAAGGGUUGUCCAUUUAAUUGUUGGAACUUCAGGUUCUCAACACUGUUAGAUUUUGAACUUCUGGCCAAAAUCACAUAUUCUCAUGGUAUGGACAUUCAAUCCCCUUAGAUUUUGAACUUCGGGCCAAAAUCACAUAUUCUCAUGGUAUGGACAUUUUUACAAUUUUCUGUACAUAUUUCUGGACUUCAAGCCCUUACAUAAUUGUCCAUAUUUUGAGGAACUUCUGGCAUCUCAUUUAAUUGCUCAUCCAUGAGUUUAAGGAACUGCAGGUUCCCUUUUGAAUGGUGAUGGUUUACCCAAAAUGGUAAAUACUUAUGCAUACAUCACUAUUCAUGUAUACGGCACUAUUUAUGUAUACAGUACAUUUGCCAGUACAGUUAUCAUCCAUGUGUACGGCAUUAUGAACAAAUACGGUACUGUUACAUCAUUAAGGAACCCCAUGUCCUUAUUUACAUGUCAGGGAUCAAGGACCCUCAAGUCCGAUCACAUGUUUACAAAUAUAGUACCGGAGAGACUGCCAGCUCUCAUAUUAACAUCAUCAUCAAGGAUCUUCAAGUCCUGAUGUAAUUGUAUGAUGAGGAUCAAAGAACUUCUGGUCCUGAUCUGUAUACUGUAAAAACUCAUCAUACAGCACAUUUAAUCCAUAGAAUAAAUUGCUGGUAAAUAAAUUACUGGUAUGGACGAUAAACUCGCACCAUACUUUAAAUAAAUAUUGCCUUACAUACACUUACAGCAUCAAUAAUUGAUAUCCAUCCAUGAUCCACCUGUAUAAAUGUAUAUAUAUAUAUGUAUAUAUAUAUAUAUUAUUUUUAUUUGGACUUAAACAGAAACAGGCAUUUUCUAUAGCUGUAAGUAUAAUUGUACCUGCCUACGCUGAAGAUUCCUUUCAUUGUUGCAGGAUGGUGGGCAUUCAGUUUAAAUAAAGCAAACACACACAUUUCAAAUUUUAAUUGAAUUUCAAAUUAGCAGUUUACUUACAUGCCCAUCCAUGACGUAAAAAGCAGAGACAAGUGAUUGUCUUUCGACAAUGACAUGAUAUCACAGUAGUGGGGAUAACGCUAUGAUAUUGGCCGAUCGGCUUCGCUGUAUCCCUGCACACCUUUAAUAAUUAUAUAAUAUUAAAAUAAUAUAAUUAUGUACCUGCACUAUAGACCUGCAUCUUAAGCUUCUUCCCUUUAUGGGGUCUGCCGCUUUGCCUUUUGUUUCCUUUGCUUUGCUUUCCACUGAAGCAAGUUGGCCAGCACCAAUAAUGCCGCCCACAAUGCAAAAAUCAAGUUGGCCAGCACCAAUAAUGCCGCCCACAAUGCAAAAAUCAAGUUGGCUACUUUUGCCUGUUGCUUUCUCAAUUUCCUCCACCCUUUCAUUGUCUUUUCUUCUUUCACUACUUCUCAUCUUCUGCCUCUCUCUUGCCUUUUUUUUUUCUUUUUUUUUUUUUGUAUUCGAUUUUCUGGCAAGCCUCCAAAGACAGCAACGACCAAGUUGCCUUGUCAUGGCUGGCGGCCAUUGCAAAAGCCUUUUCCAUGAAGAAAUGGACUUGGACACGAGGCUGGUUGAUUAUGUAGUUGGAGAUGAAGAAAGCAGCUGACAGUCUAGGGAGGGAGCGAACCAGAGAGUUUGUUACUCCACUGGUGUGGUUGGGAGGUAGGGAUCGUCUGUGGUUGGUACAGAGUUUUCUUCCUCAGCUCAAGCAAGGCAAUAGAGGUAGGUUUGUUUGCUCAGCUCAGCUCAACCUGUGCUCUCUGUGUUUGUUUGCUGGGUUAUCUGGGAGAGUAAUUUUCUUCGGGUUCGGUUCUGGUAUGCUUUUGCAUAUAGAAAACAGAGAACCCAGAAAGGAAAUCCAAGAGAGAGACUUUGGUUGAGAAAAUGGCAAUUUUUGAGAAAAAUGGAGAUGCUGAGGUUGGUUGGACAACACCGAAUGGAAGUUGUUGGGCUCGGAGCAGAGAAUUGGUUCUCUAGAUCGGAGGUUUUGUGUGAAAUUUUACUGGCAAGCAAUCCGUGUGGCUCUGUACAAAACUGGGUUGGUUUUGGGUGGGCAAUCUGGGCUUGGUUUCGAACUGGGUGUCUUGAUCAAUUUCUGGGAUCAAGAAAUCAGAGAUUUCAGCCGGUUAAAGACUCGUGCUGAUAUCGUGUUGUAAAUGUGGAGAGAAAAAGUAGAGAAUUGGAAUAGAGAGGAGAGACUGAUUUUCUCAUUCAUAUGUUCUGAUGAAUGUCUUCAGUGUAUAUUUUACAAGUAGGGGGAGGUAUCUAUUUAUAGGCUAAGGUUUUGGUAAAAUACAGGGAAGGAAAGUUCCUGGAAGAUGCAAGGAAACUUCCUCUGUGGGCUCCACCUUCAAACUUUUACAACACAUUUUGAUUUUUAAAUUUUGUUUUAAUAUUUCGGCCCACUUAGUUCUUCUCAAAAUAUGUCAUCAAUAUCGUUGAAAGGUUGAACUUAGUGAAUUAUUAUAGUGCAGUACGGUAGAAUAAGCACAUGAUAUAAUUUGUCCACAUGUUAUAAUAUAAGUGAAUAUUUAUUGAUAUUAUUUCCAAAAAUAAGAAAUAUCAACAAUUAUAUCCUCCUAUAUUAUAAUACAUAUACAAAUUAUACCACAUUAUCAUACUCUAAUACCAUUUUAUAAUUUCUCGUACUUAGGAGGUAUAGAGCGAGUCAAUGACAUUACAUAAUAUAUAAUUGUUCAUAUAAUGGGGCAACUAACGUGAUCAACAAGUUGUGGUGAUUAAUUUAACAUAAUAAAAAAUAUACCAUUUACUUGAGUGAUGUAACAAUUUGUUCUUUUAAAUUGGAUUGCCAUCACUUUAAUAUGUUAUGUUUCUUAUUAUAGUCUCCCAUGUUAAGUGCUUCAGCAUUGUUUGUGGUGUGUACACAAAUUUUCUUAUAAAAUGUUUUAAUGCUUCUCACAUGUAUAUCAGAUAUAGACAGUUGAUGUGACUUAGAAAUCAAAUUGUCAAUAAAACAAAAAAAUAUAAUUGGUGAUCGAGGUCCAAUUUAAUAGAAAAUAGUCUUAACUUGCAUAUUAAAGGUCUUAUAUUCGAAUCCUCACUGCAUUAUUGUUGUAUGCGUACACAAGAAAUUCUCUUCCCCAAUAAUUUAGACUAUCACUUAUACUAAAAAUAUAUAUAUAUAAUGACUUUUACGAAUGCAAACAUAAAAUUACAUCAAACAAUAAUCACUACUACAAAAAAGCAAAAAGACGACGGUAAAUCACCGUCGUGUAUUGGGGUUUUCAAUGGUCGUGGAAUCCACCGUCAUCUUUUCCCUCAUAAACCACGACGCUAAAUAACCGUCGUUGUUAAAAUAUACAACGUCAUCAACAAAUACAAAACGACGUCUUUGUACUGCAAAAAGAUCUAAAAAAAGCAAUCGAGGAUGAUAAUAGACGACCAACUCUCUAAAAAAACCGUCGUUAAAAAGAAAAAAUAUGACACAUAUUAAGAGAACAAGGCCGCAAGAUAGACAUACAACGACGAAAAUAAAAAUACGACGACGUUAAAUAUAAUUUUCACGACAAUAAAAAAUAUGACGUCUUUAAAUACAUUAGAAGACGACGUUAUUGAUACAUACUACGUCGCAUAUAUAAAAACAACCGUCGUAAAAUUAAUUUUCCACUUCGAUUUUUCGAUAAAAGAUGACGUGGAAAUAGUUGUCAGUGUCAUUAUUUACGACGUAUGUGUUUAUAGAUUAGACGUUGAAAAACUAAACAACGUCGGUUACAAAUAUAUGAGAGUCGUAUUACAAAAUUUAUACGUCCUAUUUUCAGAAACAAACAACGACGAUAAAUAUUAGACGUUGUUAAACAAAACAACGUCGGAAAAAUAAAAACAGACGUGUUUAGUCUGCUAAAGUUCUAGAAAAUAGUCGAGGAUGAGAAUAGACAACCAACUCAAAAAAAUCACCGUCGUUAAAAAGGAAAAAUCUGACACAUAUUAAAAGAACAAGGCCGCAAGAUAUACAUACAACGACGACAACUAAAAUACUACGCCGUUAAAUAUAAUUUACACGACAAGAAAAAAUAUGACGUCUUUAAAUACAUGAGAAGACGACGUUAUUGAAAUCUACUACGUCUCUUAUUUACAAAAAACCGUCGUGAAAUAAAUUUUCCACUUCGAUUUUUCUAAAAAAGAUGACGUGGAAAUAGUUGUCAGUGUCAUUAUUUACGACGUACACAUUUAUAUAGUCGACGUUGUAUUUAUAUGUAUUCAUUACUCACGACGCACUUAAUAAUAUAGACGACGUUGAACUUCUAAACAACGUCGGUUCCAAAUAAAUGAGAGCCGUAUUACAGAACAUAUAGACGGCGUAGAUUAUGAUGAGAGCCGUAUUACAAAUAACGUCGUUUAAUUGUUAUUAGACGGCGGUUAUAAUGAAUUUCCGUCGGAAUUCAUUUCGUUCCUCUUCGUUUAUAAAAGAACUUGCGACGUGGAAAAUGUAUGAUGACGUCGUAUUUUUUAACGUUCAGAUUAUAUAUCUCGUUUUUAGACGUCGGUAUUAUGGGAUUGGAGUCGUGUUAUUUUGAAUUACAUGGCGGUUCUUAAUCCUUCACCGACGUGAUAUCCUGAAUAAUUGCUUCACAAUAGCGUCGUGGUUCUUCAUUGUUACGUUGCUUUAAGACGUCGGUAAAUAUGCUGAAUAACUGAUUCACAAUAACGUCGUGUUUUAUUUGAACGUAGAAAGUGAAGAAAUCACAUUACAAUAUAUUACAAAAUUAAUGUCAUACACUGCCAAUUACAUAAGCAUCAUUCAAUCCAUAUAUCUUCACACCCAUCUCGAAUAUUUUGACCGCCUAACUCACCCACCAGUUCAUCAAAUGUGUCAACAUUUGGCAUCCCUCUAGUAAAUGGCUCACACUCAAUUAUCACAUCACCUAAGACUUCAUCACCAAUAACAUCAUUAUAUUCUCUAUUAGGCAUUGAUAACACUACCGACCAACCACGAUGCAUCGGGUCGUCAACAAAAAAUAUUUGUUUGACUUGAGAAGCCAAAACAAAUUGGUCAUUCCUAUGUCCAAUUUUACUCAAAUCUACAAGGGUAAAUCCAAGUUCGUCGACUACAAGACCAGAACUAUCUAUCCAAUCACACCUAAAGACUGGGAUUGUAAACUUUUGGUAGUCAAGGUCCCAAAUUUCUUGAAUGACACCAUAGAAACCCAUAUUUGAGAGAAUUGGGUUUUUAUCCUUGGCACUAGCAACUUGCAUGGUAUGUGCAAGUAAAUAAACUCCACUAUUUUGAGUUGUCCGCACAUCAUCUUGUGCCUUGAUAUUGAAUUUAAUACCUUUAAUAAGAUAGCUCCUAUAUAAUGGCACUGACAUGUUUGGACCAGCUGCUAGCCACCUUAAAUUUUCUGAUACGCCAUGAUUGUCUUCCUCAAGUUCACUUUGAACCUGCAAAUUAAUCAUAUCUUAAUUCAAUCUAACAUAUAAAUAAGAAGAAAAUUAAAAGAGAAAUAUGUUAUUCAACAACAUAUACCUUGAAGCGUAGCCAUUGAAUGAAAGUGCUAUUGUGCUUAUCCUGCAGCCACUUUGUUCUCUUUCUAAAUUUUGGAUAAGCAGUCUUGAUGUGGAUCAUAUGUUGCCCACAUGACACGAAAAAUUCAAGCAUUACGAUCCUAAAUAUAGAAGAUAAACAUAAGAAAUAAUUUAAAAUGGAAACUUAAAGAAUAAAGCUCAUACGUACUCGAUAUAAGGUAGGACUUCCUCCGUAUUCUCCAAGACAUAUAGAUGUGCUUGAUUCAACAGGUCCUGAUCAACUACGCUCACUGUGCAACCUGAUAAUGGCUUUGAAAGCCCCAUCUUUUGGCUUGAAGGCACUCCAACUGUACUAACAUCAGAUAAAUGCUGAGUACAACACUCUACCGCUUCUUCAGCUAUAUACCGCUCAGCAAUGCAACCUUCGGGACGAGUACGAUUCUGAACAUACCCCUUCAGCACUUUCAUAUAUCUUUCAAACGGAUACAUCCACCGAAAAUAUACUGGCCCACAUAGACGAACUUCUCUGACAAGAUGUACUACUAGAUGAACCAUGAUAUCAAAGAAUGAAGGGGGAAAGUACUUCUCAAGCAAACACAGAGUAACUACUACAUCUUCUUCCAACUUAUCUAGCUUGGAAACAUCAACAGUCUUUGCACAUAUAGCAUUGAAGAAGAAGCACAAACGAGUUAUUGCAUACCUUGCAGGCUUCUCCAAAACAGAACGAAUUGCCACAGGGAGCAAUUGUUGCAUUAAGGUAUGACAAUCAUGUGAUUUAAGGCCAAGAAGUCUUGAAUCUUGUAAAGAUACAAGAUUUUUAAUAUUUGAAGAAUAACCUUCAGGGACCUUCAUACCAUAGAAAGAAUUGCAAACCUCUCUCUUCUCUACUCUUGACAAAUUCCAAGGCCCAGGAGGCAAACGAGUACGUCUUUCUCCAUACUCGGGUUGCAAAUCAGUUUUGACCCCCAUGUUCAAUAAAUCUAAUCGAGCAGCAAUCCCAUCUUUAUUUUUUCCAGGGAUCUCCAGCAAUGUACCAAUGAUACUAUCACAAACAUUCUUCUCAAUGUGCAUAACAUCUAGGGCAUGCCUUACAGGAAGGUAUUUCCAAUACUCGAGAUCAAAGAAUAUUGAUUUCUUCUUCCAACAAACUCUGUCACCAUUUUCAACCAUAUGCAGCACUUCUUCUCCGGUUAAUGGCUCGGGAGGUAUGCCAUAUUCAGGUUUCCCAUUAAAAGCUGCACGUUGCCUCCUAUAUGGAUGAUUGAUUGGUAACCAUUUUCUAUGCCCAAUGUAACAAAUUUUGUGGCCAUUUUUCAACCUGUGACUAGGUGUAUCAUCGCCGCAUAUUGGACAAGCUUUAUAUCCUUUAACAACACAACCAGAUAAGUUUCCAUAGGCGGGGAAAUCAUUAAUUGUCCACAUUAAUGCAGCUCUGAGUGUAAAGUAUUCUCCAUUAUGUGCAUCAUACACUCCUCUAAUCCCAUCCCACAAAGAUUUUAAAUCAUCAAUCAAAGGCUCCAAGUAGACGUCUAUAUCAUUUCCGGGUUGUUUAGGACCGAAAAUCAAUAAGGUUAACAUCAUGAACUUUCGUUUCAUGCACAGCCAUGGAGGGAGAUUAUAUGUAACUAAGAUAACCGGCCAACAACUAUAUCUGCUACUUAGAGAACUGUGGGGAUUGAAUCCAUCAGAUGAAAGAGCCAAUCUCAAGUUUCUCGGCUCAUUACCAAACUCAGGCCAUUUAUCAUCAAGAAGUUUCCAAGACGGGGAAUCCGCCGGAUGAGACAUCUGACCGUCAAUUGAUUUUCUAGGAGCAUGCCAAGUCAAACUCUUAGCUGUCUCAUGUGAUUGAAACAUCCUUUUAAACCUUGGAAUUGGAGGAAAAUACCACACCACCUUCGCUGGCACACCCUCUUUCAAGAUUGAAUCUUUGCCUUCCUUCCACCUUGAGAUACCACAAGUAGGACAAUUAGUUGAAUCCUCAUACUCCUUCCUAUACAAGAUGCAAUCAUUGGGGCAUGCGUGCAUUUUCUCAUAACUCAGCCCCAAUGCACACAAAGUCUUUUUAGCCUCAUACAUAGAGGUUGGUAUUGUAUUUCCUUAUGGAAGCAAAUCGCCUUGAAGUAUCAAUAAUUCUGUAAAACAGACAUCACUCAUCCCAUGUUUUGCCUUCAAAUUAUACAACUUCACUAAUGCCGAUAACUUCGUGUACUUUCUACAACCAGGGUACACUGGUUGAUCUCCAUCCCCAAUCACAUUGGCAAACUCAUACGGAUCGGAACCAAAAUCAUUAUCAUCCAUAUCAAUUUCUUCAGACACAAAACUGUACCUACUAUGGCCAUCAUCUUCUUCAACAUUUCUACUAGCAUUAGUAGUUGCUUCCCAAGGUUCUCCGUGAAAUGUCCAAUUCUUAUAGCUUUGGUCAAUUCCAUUAAAGUAUAAGUGAUCCCUUAUAAUUCCAACCCCAAACAACUUCAAAUUAACACAUUUAACACAUGGACAACGGAUAUGUGUUGUAGUUAGAAGAUUUUCUACAGCAAAGUUCAAAAAUGCUUCCACCCCAAACUCAUAUGCCUUCGAUCUUCUAUCCGAGUGCAUCAUUGACUUAUCCAUCUCCGACACUAUAACCUAUUAUCUAUAAUAAAGUGAAAAUACAGGCAAUGACCAUCACUAUAGCAGAUUAUACAAAGAUCUAAUAGCAAGUAAUACACAACAAAGACGACGGGUUUUAAACAAAAACAGACGUAUUUGGCAUAUAUAGACGACGGAUUUUCAACAGACGUCGUCUAAUAUAAGUAAUACAAACGACGGUUUAUGAAAAAACCGUCGUGUAUAAGUAAUACAACGACGGUUUUUUCAUAAACCGUCGUGUAAUCGUCGGCGUAUGCCUAAAAAGGCGUCGUGUCUCAGUUUAUUUUCAAGAACCCAAAACCCAUUAAGAACACAACAUAUAUAUGAAACCAAGCAAGAAAACAACAUAUACAUGAAACCAAGCAUGAAAACAAUAAAUCCAUUCCCAAUUCAACAUAACAUAGGGUGAUUAAAAGAUCCGACAAAAUUAAAUCCAUUCCCAAUUCAACAUAACAGAUAAUGUAAUCCAUGAACCCAUUAAACAGAAAAUCCAUGAACCCAUACUUAUAAGCACAUUAUUAACAGAUCGCAAAGCAUAUACCUAAAACCCUUUAACAAAACAACCUAAUAUCAUUCAAUGAAUUUACAAGGGGAAGAUAGGGUUUGUACUUACAGGUUGGACGAGCUCACAGAUUCGACGGAGCAGAAGUGAGAGAGCAACUUUUAAUUAGAGCAGAAGUGAGAGAGCGAAAUGUUAUGUUGCGCGAAAUCUGAAAAUUUUAGGGUUCAGGGUUAGAAGAAUAAGAAUAAGAGCCAAAUAUAAAAAAAUUUAGGACGCGUGAAAAUUUUUAGAGCGCGCGCUCUUUAAAACUUCGAAAGAAAAACCAUGGCGAAAGUUCUACAAGAACCGACAUAAAUGUAAUAUUCCACGACGGAAACACUGAACGUAACGCCGUUUAUUUUGACGCUUCAUUUUUCGGAUUAAUUUUAAAUUUAUUUUCAAUAUUUUGAUAUAAAGACGACUGAAAAACCACGUCGGGGUUAAGAAAUUGAAAACGUUGUAAAUUAUAAUAGACGACUUACAUAUUAAAAUGACGUCGUUUAAAGUAGAAACUAUGUCGGAUAAUUUACUGCACGACGUAACAUAUGUAUUCCACGACUCAACCACCGUCGUUAACAAUUAAUACCCUAAACCCUUAAAACUAAAUUAUAUAAUUUUAAAAAUUAACUUUAUAAAAGGGUUUAUGGUUUUACAGCCUAAUAUAUACCCUAGACUACCCAAAAAUUAUACUUUAAAAAUAAACCCCAAUAAAUAACAACCCUAAUCUCUAAACCCUAGACUCUAAACCCUAAACCAUAAAACUAGAAGUGAUUUUAUGACUCAUCAAAACAAUUUUGUUUUGGAUGUUCAUUUUAAAUUUUUGUAAUUCAAAAUGAAUUUUUUCAAGGUUUAGGGGGAAGAAAAUAUAUCAAUGACUUCAUAGGAGUUGACUUUGCAUUUUUCUGAUUUAUUUUAAAUUUAUUUUGAAUAUUUUGAUAUAAAAAUAAUAAAAUAUUCUUAUCACAACAACAAACCACGUCGGUGUUGAUAAAUUGUAGACGUUGUAAAUUGUAAUAGACGACUAAGUUGUUAAAAUGACGUCGUUUAAAUGAGAAACGAUGGCGGAUAUUUAACUAUCCGACGUAAAAUAUAUAUUCCUCGACUUAACCACUGUCGUUACAAAGUACUACCCUGAACCCUUAAGAAAUUGAAGACGUUGUAAACCAUAAACGACUCCAUUGUUCAAAGAACGUCGUCUAAAUAUCCUUUUACGCCGGAUUUGUUUAAAACGAAACCACAAAAAACGACGGCUUUUGACUUUAUUACGUCGUUGGAAAAUUAUUACACGUCGGUUACGCAUUUUGUAUGUUUGUUUUUGUUUUUACUUUAAGAAAACCUCAACAAAUUUUUACAUUAUAUAUUAUAGACAAAAUUUGUACAUUAUACAUAAAUAUCAAGUGUUCAAUAAUUCCCCUAUUCCAGUUGAAUGCAAACAAACUCUGCCCAUUCAUUCCGGACUUCAUCAAUUGCUUCUUGGGGGUAUGGCUCUUCCUGUUUUCCCUUCGCAUACUGCAUAAAAACAAUGACUAUUAGGGUUUAUAAAUAAAAGGAAAUUCAAUCACAGACGACCAUAACCGACGUAGUAUAUCUAUUCAACGACGGUAAUUUUACAUGACCGUCGUUGAUAAUACAAAAAACGACGUAAAAUGUUUGAAGGUUAUUUCUUCUUACCUUCUUCUCAAACCCCAAGGAAGGAUCCAUGAUGAUGUCCUUCAUGAAGCGCAUCACGUAAUACCCGCAUUCGACAUUGCUGGGUUGCUUUGGUGUGCCUGACAGGGUUUUCCAAAUGACUGCCUUACGGCCUGAUCUGGCUAUGUGGGAAUUAUAAAUUUUUAUGGCACUGUUCACGAUGUCUUUGGCCUCUUCAUCGACCACACGAUUUCCUGGCAGAGGAUCCAGAAAAUAGACUGUUUCCCUCUUUGCUCUUACAAUCAGCAAGAUCCAAUGACGGCUGCACAAAAUUAAUAUAAAAACGACGGUUAUUUACAAAAACGACGUAUUAUAAUAUUUCACACGACGAAAUAAAGUAGCAAUCGACGACAUUAUAUAUUUAUAACGACGAUAAAUAACUACCGACGUGGUUAGUCGUUUCAAACGACUCAAUAAAAUAAAACACCGACGUGGUUAGUUUAUACGCUGUCAUUUAUUGAAAAUCAUAAAAACAAAAUCCUGUUAAGGAGACUAACCCUGGAUUGUAAGGCAUGAGGAAAAUCUGUUCACCGUCAGUCUUCUGAAGUCGUGAUGCUACAAGCCGUGAUCUGUCAGCUAUUGUGCCAGAGCUGGCACUAACUGUAGCAGGGUCGAUAAAGCCAACCAUUGUGCACAUAUUUGCUUGUUUUAAAACAUCGUGUAAGUACCUAAAUAUAUAAAAUAAUAUAAACAAGUCAGCGCAAAAAAAACACACGACGGUUAUGUAUAACAAAACGACGUAUUAUAAGGUUUCACACGACGUACUGAAAUAGACAACGACGUUAUAAUAAAUUUAUCACGACGGUACAUACUAACGACGUGGUUAGUUAGUUAAGACGACGCAAUAAAUAAACCAACGACGUAUUAUUUUAGAAUGACAAACCUCAUAUAUACAGCAAUGACUGUAGCUCCUAUUUCCUCCAUGCCUGCAAAUUGUGUAAUAUCUUCAGGCAGGAGGAAGGUAUCGCGCUCUAGACCAAACACCUCCUUAUCAAUUGUAAAGUGCAGGGUCUUAUCUUGAGUUACGAGUGUCGUUUCCACAUAACGACAAAGGGUUUGUAAAGAAGAUGGCGCCUCCAUAUUUGAAUAAUCAACAACUUUAGUAACCUGUUUAAAGAAAUAAAAAAAUGACGUGGUAAUUCAAUAAAAACGACGGUUUAAGGAAUAAAAUGUCGUUUGAAAACAAUUUAAACGACGGUGAAAAAACCGUCGUGGUGAAUUAUUUAUUACGUCUUAGAAAACAAUUCCGCCGUCUAAGUUGUAAACAAACGACGGUUUAAAGAAAAAUAUCGACGUCUGGAAUUUUGAAAACAAAUAAAAAAGGUAAAGUUAUGUGAACAUACCUGGUCGUCAUCUUCUUUCUCCUUUUCAUCUUGUUUUUCUUCCUUAUUCUCUUCAUAUAUGACGUCGGGAAUGAUUAACUCCGUCAUCUAAAAACCACAAAGUUUUAAAAAUAACGACGUUUAAUGGCGUGUAAAACAAGUAAACUAAAUACGACGUGGUAUUGAAAUACAAACGACGGUUUAUUUUUAAAAUCGUCGUGGUAUGUAUUUCAAACGACGGUUUUAUUAAAAAUAACGACGUCUAAUGGUUUUUAAAAAAACAGAGAAUUCAAAGUUCAGAUAUGUUACCUUUUCUUCCUGAUGUUUCCCAUUUUUGGCAGUAUCAUCCUCAAAAUGCUGGGAUCUCACAUCACCUCCAGAGCAGCUUGCUUUGUCAGACAUUGGAUUUUUGGGACUUUGGCUAAUUCUGGGUUUAAGCAUGCUUGGAUCAAAAUUGGGAAUUAAUUGGGAAAGCUGACUCAGGAAAUGCUCCCUCUCAGCCUCUACCAAUUGUUUCGUUCUAGCCUCCAUUCUUAAAGCCUCUUCCCUUGCCUUAGCCUCCAUCUUUUUAGUCUCUUCUUGAAGGAGAACUCUUAAACUGUCCUUCAAACGGUCGUCAAAGCUCACUCUCUGUGGUUUGGGUAAAUUGAAAUAUUGCUUUGGUGAGAUCCCAGCACCUACUCCUCUGACUCUGCCUGGAUGCUCGGGGCCCAAAGCCAUGGUCAGCACAUCAUUGCUGCCAGAGACGGUGACUUUGCCUUCCGAGACUUGUUUUUGCAAAUCAUCCUAAAACAAAGAUAUAUAAAAAAGUAAGAACAAAAACACACGACGGUUAUUUAUAUACAAACGACGUAUUAUAUAAUUUCACACGACUCAAUAACAUAUAAAUCGACGUUAUUAUAAUUUAUCACGACGGUAGUUAUACCGACGUGGUUAGUUCUUUAAAACGACGAAAUUAAUAAACCACCAACGUCUUAUGUAACAGAGGGAUGAUUCAAUAUUCACACCUUUAACGACGUUGUUUAAAACAUUUCGACGUAGUAAUUUAAUACAGACGACGCGAAAUUGAACCACCGACAUCUUAUGCUAUAAUUACAGAAAACAGAGUUCUGAUUCCUAUUUAGACCUUUAACGACGUGUUUUAAAAAAUGUCGACGUGGUAAUAUCAUUCACACGACGCAAAAUAUAACAUAAGACGUAAUAAGAAUUAUUCACAGUUUAAUAAAAAUUUAAAACAGAGUGAGUAGGCUUACAAUUAAUUUUGCUUUCUCUGCCACCUUUGGAUCAGGGAUGUUACCAUGUUUGUCAUGUCUAGCUCUCUUCCAUAAGGUAGAUCGAUCAAUUUCUACCCCAGGCAUGGUUUCCUCUAAUUGAUCCUCCAAACCGGCAUAUCCUUUUCGAGACAAUCGAUGAUUGUACUCGAGUUUCUCCCUAAUCUGUGCAUGUUGAGAAUGCACAGACUCAAAAUCUUUGGAUAGCCUUGAAGCUACAAAGGCAUCCCAUUGUGCUUUCUCUAUGAAUUUAUAUGUUUCAGGGGGUUGGCUUAAUCUCUCCCUGUCAUUGGUGUAUGGAAGGAUAUAAUGCCUCGUUAGUGUAGACUUGAAAUCCUUCCAUUUCUUGGCAGCAGAAGCUAAGACAGAGUUCUUGCCCCCUUGACCUACUACAAAAGCAAUGUCAACUGCUUCCCAAAUCUGCUCCUUUAUAUCCUUGGGGAUUUGAGCCCAUUUCAAGUCCACAAGUGGAACUCUGGAGCGUGCCAACACACCAAUAUAGGACUGCAUCUCACUAUGAGCUUGGCCAAUUCCUUUCCCCCUUUUAUUGUACUCAACAAUUGGCCUCAGUUUCUGCAGUUUUCUCUUCACAACACGAGGCAUUGUGCUCAUACCUCGACCAGCCUUUGAAUCAUCAGAUAUUGUUGUCCCGCUGGUUGGUUCUGUAUCAGCAGAUGAUGAAGCAAACUUCAUCUUCUUCGAAGACUUCAUUAUCUUCGAAGACUUCUCUUGAGGAGGUACUUGCUCCUCACCUCCAUUUUUCUUGGAGCCAGAAUCCUUACUUUAGUCUUGUUGAGAAACCAUUUUUACAGACAAAACUGCAAGUGAAAAUAUUUCAAGAAAAGAUUAAGAACACAAACGACGGUUAUUAAUAAAAUACGACGUAUGAUAUGAUUUUAAACGACGCAAUGAAAUAAUAUCAGACGUAAUAAAUUUUUAAAACGAAGGUAAUUAAACAACGACGAAAUAAUUGACUACAAACGACGAGAUAAUUAACUAUAAACGACGGAAUAUUUAUAUAACGUCGUGGUAUUGAUGUUCACACGACGUCAGUAGUAAUAUACCGUCGUCUAUAUAAGGAUCCAAAACCCUUCUUUCUUUCUCUGUGAAUGUUUGAUUGCAGAUUUGAUUUUUCUGAACCAUGGUUUUUGUUUUCUAAUUUGAUAAAAUACAAGGCCAAGAAAGAAAGUUUUGGAAUCUUAUAUAGACGACGGUAUUUUAAUAUGACGUCGUGGUAUUAACAUUCACACGACGUAAAACAAUAAGAUACUGUCGUCUAUAUUAGAUACCAACCCUAAUUUCUUUUUCUUUAUAUUUUAUCAAAUUAGGGAAAAACAAAAACCAUUGUUCAGAAAAAUCAAACCUGCAAUUAAACAAGCAAAUAAAAAAAAGACUAAAAUUUUAAAAACAACUUUGUCAAUUUUCAGACGACGCUAGAACGACUGACGAACCGUCGUGGUCUACAUAUUUAACCACGUAAAUAAGAAGCUACCGUCGUCUUAUUUAGUUAAGGUAGUUGUCUUCAAAGUUGGAAACUUUCCCUCUUUGUCUGUAUAUUUUAUCGAACUUGGAAAGAAGUAAAAUGAUUUUGGCCAGAAAAAAGGUAAAAAGAUUUUUCAAACAAAAAACGUAUGAGCAUGCAAAACAGCAACCAAAAUAGUGAAAAUGAAAGCUUACCUUUUGUGUGCAAUGAAAGCAAGAGGAAGACGAUCGAUGUUUAAAUUCAGAGACGACGAAGAAGACGAGAGGAAGACGAUGAGAUACUCUGAAAGUGCUCUGACAAGGAAAAAAGUCUAAAAGUUUUCUCUGGGAGAUUGAAAUUUUUAAUCGGGUUUGGAAAAAGUGCAUGUGUAAGUCAGGUAGACGAAAAGUUGCUUAUAUAUAAAACCAUUUCAAAAAAAUAAUACGGCGGUUACAUAUAACUACGACGUAUAAAUUACAAAAUACGACAGUACGUUUAACUUCGGACGUGGUAAAUAAUUACGACAGUAGUGUUAUAGGUACCGUCGUAGUAAACUCAAAAUUAAAGUACAUAAGUAAUAACUCGCGUCAUGGUAGAUCAUUUAACACGUCGGUUUUAUUAAUGUACCGACGUGGAUUUAUGUAAUAUACGUCGGUAAUACCGACGUUGAUUUUACAAUUUAAACGGCGGUUUUUUUGUAAGGACCGCCGUUGGUUUUAAAAAUUUAUUCUAUAAAUUUGUUGCUUUCAUUCAUUUUCGGUUUACAUUUAGGGUUCCAAGUUCUUCCUCUCUCAGAGACACUAUCUCUCACAUCUCAAAGACAGUAAUUUGGAUGUCUUUCUCAAAGAGAAAUUGAGCUUACUCGCAUCAAAUCUAUGUCCACAAGAAGAAGCUUGUCAACUAGCCUUCUCACUUCCUUGAUCAAGCCUGAUAGGACACUUAGUGCUUCUGAAUACUCCUUGCUUUCCAUCAAAAGAGAUGCAAGCCUGGCCUCCACUCGCUGUCGAAGGAAAGUUCGCUUCUCAGGGAAAUCUGAAGAUCAGAUGUGCCUGAUCCUCUGCUUGAUUUUCUUGGCUAAGAAGAUCCGUCAGAUUUGUGAUAGCCUCUUCCUUUAUCCGUAGAGCUUCAGAAGAAGAAGAUGGGUUUCAAGAAUGCGAUAAAGAAUAGAAAUGGCUUCAGAUGGCCUCUAAAGCAUGAGCAAUCGAAUCAGUGCUUUGAACUAUACUUUGAACUAUACAAGUCAAUGCUUUGAACUAUACAAGUCCUGCAGAAAGAUAAAGGACCAAACUAUUAAAGAAACCCCAAACUAACACGACGCAAUAUUUGUUUUGCGACGUGGAAUCUUUUCAUUUAACGUCGUUAGGUUUAAUAUAACCGACGUGGAUUUGAAUUUUUAAAUUAUGAAUAGCAUUUUUUUUCCCGUGACCUUUCAGUUUAUUUUUCAAUUACAGUGCGUUAUAAAUAGAGUUUUUUUUCCGGAGGAAAUUUAAAAUGAAGGAAAUUAAUGUUCUGGAAUAUGUAAAAUUUCUUUUUUGGAUGACAGAUUUAAAUAAAAUAAGAAUAUAAAAACAACGACUGUUUUUGUAUUACUGUCGUCGUUUUUCGUCGUCUUAAGUAAGACUAAGACAACGUAAUAUAUUUGUUGAGCGACGUUGAUUUGUGUUUUAAACGUCCUUAGGUAUAAUAUAACCGUCGUUGAAAAUUGUCUCUCUGAUUGCAAAUUUGCAACGACGUUAGGUAUAAUAUUUGUAGAUACACAAACGCACACACAUCAUCAACUUCCAAAAAAUUGUCUCUCUGAUUGCAAAUCUGUGUCAUCUGUUAAGAUUAUGAUGUGGAACAAAGUUCCAUUUGGUAAGAUUUCGUAACCCUUGGGAUCUCAGAAAAAUCUGAUUAUGUCGGCGAUUUUCUAUAUAAACCGUCGUGGUUAUUUCAAUUCUUGUCAUUAAGUAGAUCUACCGACGUAGGAUAAGAAAAUCAAAGAAAAAAAUUGUUAACAAAAAUUCUUAUUAAGACGACGGUUUAAAUUAAAGGUAAGACGUAUAAAAUGAAUAAAUACGACGUUAAAUUUUAUAGUACGAUUUAAAGAUAACGUCGUAGAACUAUACCAGAAUGACGUCGAUAUAUUUAUAUUUUUCGUCGUUGUACAUUAAUUUAAUACGGCGAUAUUUUGUAUUUUAAAGUCGUGGAUUUGUUUGUAAUUAUACAGCGUCUUAUACGAAAACCUCGUCGUGUUAUUUUAUGAGUAAAAACGGCGGCUUUUAUUGAAAUCGUCGUCUUUACUUUCUACGUCGGUUGAUUCAUAACUUCUGUCGUUCUUUGUUGGCUUUGAUUUUACACUGCGGAAAUCUGUUUCAAAUAGACGUCGGUUGUUUAAUUAAGUACGUCGUUGUUUUUGAACAGCCAUUUGAAUCUCCAUUUUUUAGUUGUCUAAGGUGGUAUUACACGACGGUGUUUUUAGAACCGUCGUCUUUUUAAAAACCACGACGGUUUUCACUGAGACCGUCGUUGUUUUCUGGUCGUCUUUUUCACUUUUUGUAGUAGUGAAUGGAAUAGAAUGAUGGAAGUUAUUUUUUUUUUUUCCUACGUCUAAAGUAUACUUUAUAUAUAUAUAUAUAUAUUUAUAUUUAUUAUGGAAGUUAUAACCGUUUAAUUUUCAGUUUUUAUUUUCUAUUUAUUGUUUUAAUUUUUAUAGUUUAAUGUGUAUGGAGAUUUCAAGUAUUGGAUGUUUAUAAAGGGUCACUCCUCCUUCACAUCUGAAACAAACCACCAUCUCAUUUCUGUAUUUUCAUACUUUCAUAUAUUUUCUACUUUCCAGAUUAUUAUUUUUGGGCAACGGUUCUGUGACUUGGAGAUUUCUAUCCGAUUAUUAACAUGCUCAUAGCGGACCUUGAGCUUGCGUAUUGAGGAUAGUAUCUUGGAGCCUUGUAGACCUUUAUUACCUGCAUGUAGGGAGGCUAUAAAUGCUUUAAGUCAGCGUCUUUGACGUGCUUUUGCUUUCUUUUUUUUACUUAUUUCUUCGUUACUUUAUUUUUACUUUACUUUUAAAUCUUUAUUUUAUGUAUUAUUUAUAUUUAAAAAUUUUGAAUAAGAGUUUUACAGAAAAGGAAAAACACAAUUUCAAAUAACACAAAUUUCUCGUUUUUUGUUCUUAAAAAAGAAGAAGCAUUGAUUGGGGAGUUAUGGUAAACUCAGUUUCAAUGGUUGCGAUGAGAGGCGGUGGCGGCGAGGAGAGGACGAAGGCUUUGCUGCCGACGGGGUGGUGUGGGUGGGUGGAGACCUCGGCUGGCUGCUUGGUCCUGGGUUCUCCUUUAAUUCUCUGUUUUCUUUUUUCAUAUUUUUCUUUUUCUCUUAGAGUUAUUGAUGUUAAGUGAAUGGACAGAUGCCAAGAGAAGAUGUGAACCCAAUUAUAUACAGCUGAUUACAUAAAGUAACAAAUUAAUUAAUACUUGAGUGGAGGACAGGCUCGAGUGGAAGAAUUGAUUAAGGCUUGAGUGGAAGACAAACUUCAGUGGAGGAAAGUACAGAUAAGGAAAGCAUGCCACGUUUAACGGCUUUAUCUCAACAAAUUAGGAAUGCUGGUUUUGUUUCCUCGGUGGUUGAAAGGUGGUGCCUUGGCUCGGACAUCUCCCUAGUAAUUAAUCGAAGGUGGAAUCUUACAAGACAUUCAGCUGCUCAUUAGCUGAAUAUCUCGCUCUCUUUAAAGAGAUCGAAGCAAACUGCAAUUUGCAAUUUGUGUGAUUCAAGCAUGAAUAUCUGACAUAGUAACUAUACCAUUUGUUGGUUUGAUGAGAAAAGUUUGGUUAGCGAGGAUGAAACCAUAAAGUUCCCCAAAACACACAAAGAGCACGGACAAUUGCUAAGUUUAUCUUUGAGUUCACGCAUAUUUGCACAAAUGAGAUUACUCCAAGUAUGACUAUACCAUUUGUUGGUUUGAUGUGAAAAAUAUGGGCAACGAGGGUAAAACUAUACAAACACACACAAAGAAAGUGGACAAUUACUAAGUUUAUCUUUGCGUUAUUCAUCCGACCUAACUGUAAAAUAAAAAAGAUGAAAAUAUAUAAUGUUCACUACUUAGAUCUAUGAGCACUAAAGUCCUCCUUUUGGAAUUGCACAAAACGUCACUUUUGGUCUUUGACAAAUUUUUAAAAUAAAUGAAUUUUUUACUUAUUUGUGGACUGAAAUGCCUCAAAAAAAAUAAUGAUAAUUUGAAGAAUUUGAUAGAAAUUAAAAAAUAUCCUCAAAUUACUUGGAAUUGAAGACCACAUAGGCAAAAACACCACUUUGGACAAAGGCUGGUGAUAAUAGUCGAUAUCAUCUUUUGUCGGUCCGACCUAAAAAGAAGAAAAAGUUGAAAGCAUCUUGUUACCAUUUUUGCCAAUGUGGGUCCAGACAAUUUGAAGAAGUCCACCGACAAUUUCUCAAAAGCUAUUGUGUGAGUGUUUUGAAGCUAAACCAAUAUUAUUUUGCACAUACGACCCCACAUCCCCAUGUGAGGCUACAGAAGUGUUUCCAAAACGAAACAUGAUAUUUCAAAACAAAGCUAUGUAUAGAAUAGAGUCAUUUGUAUUUGCUUUCACAAUAACAUUUUAUUUGUGAAAGCAUUUUAUAUUUUUACAUUAUGAUGUUCUAACAAAUAAAUUGACUAUAUUUGGCCAACAGGGUUUAACCGAGUAAAAAAGUCCUUAUUUAUAAACUACUGGUUUCAUAUUUGAACUCUAUGACAUUCUCUUUACCCUUAAAGUUUAGACUAUCGCAUGUAUUAUAAAUAAAAAAAAACAAUUGGCUUAAUUUGAUAUAUUUCAUUUUAUGCUGGGUGCCGUUAUUAAGUUUUAUCCUUGUUUCUUGUUGAAAAAAAAUUGAUAAAAAAUAAGAAUUCCUAUAGCUAGCAACUUCUCCACCUUCCCUUCUUCGCAACUAGGGAUGCCAUUGCAAGGUCACCAUCUCAGAUUAAGUCCUCCUUUUAAAAUUGUGUUGUUAUUCAAAAUUGGAAUAUGCUGGUCAUUCUUGAUAUAAUCUGUUCCACAAAAAGAAAAAGAAAAAAGUUGAUAGCAUCUUUUACCACUUUGGCCACUUUUGAAGAUAUUCACCGACAAUUUCUCAAAAGCUAUUAAGCUGUACGUCCACAAUAUUAUUGCAUCCAACUUUGCAUAUACGACCCCAUCCCCAUGUGAGGCUACAAUAUUGUUAAAAAAAUAUGCUAACAUUGUCAUUCAGUAUGCUAACAUUGUCACUAUGUUUGCGAAUUGCAUAUUAUCUAGAACAUAAAGGCUUUGGUGUUUUGUAGAUCCUCAGGGAGCCAAACCCGUCUUUAUAAAAAUGGUCCUUAUGAUACUACUUUAACAACAAUAAAGUAUAAUAAACUAGGCCUUUGUAGUCACUGAACGAAUGUUUUGUCAUAUAUAUGACUAUUUAAAUGUAAUUACGGGAUUAAAACAUUAUAAUAAAUUGGAGUGAACCAUAACAUUAUAUAUGAUCCAAUCCUUUGCAUAUAUUUUUGUUCAAGACUUUGUUUUAGAAUGCUCUAUUACUAAUUUGGUACAGGUCUCUAAAAUCUAUGCCUUUAUGAGGCAACGUCUUUAUUUCUUUGGUUAUUCCAGUUUAGAAUAUUUGCACAAAUGAGAUGACUCCCAGCAUAAAGUCACAUUCAACCAAAAAGCAUGAAGUCACACACAAAAAGAAUACGGACAAUUGCUAAGUUUAUCUUGUAUCCUUAUUUUAUUGAUCCAACCCAAUUGAAAAAUUAAAAAGAUGAUAUAAUAUACUGUUCACUGCUUACAUCCAUGAGUAAAGUCCUCCAUUUGAAAUUGCGUGAUGAUAUAAAAUUGGAAUGAAAAAAGAAAAUCCUACAGCUAAAUUUGAUAUAUUUCCUUUUCAUUUUAUGCUGGGUGUUAAGUUUUCUUAUUUCUUGUUGAAAAGAAAAAUGAAAAGAAAUAAAUAAAUUCCACAGCUAGCCACUUAUCCACCUUCCCUUCUUCCCAUGUAGUGACAACAAGGGAGGCCUUCAAUCCAAAAUAAAGACAAGGGAUGCCAGAUCAGCAUCUCAGAUAAGUAUCCCAACCAAAACCAAUCAAAUAAUGACAUAUGUAUCUCUUUUUGUGUUUUGUUCUAUUUCUCUUUGAAUUAACUGCAUAGUUUCAUAAGCGUGUCCUCCUUUUGAAAUUGUGUAUUAUUCAAAAUUGGAAUUUGCUGAUCAUACUUGAUAUCAGCUAAAAAAGUUUCCAACAUCUUGUACCAUUUUUUUCCAGUGUGGGUCAUAACUUGAAGAAGCCCACCGACAAUUUCUCAAAAGCUAUUACCAUCCAACUUUGAAAAAUAAAAGUUUUCAAAAGUUACCCCAAACAACAGUCCUUGAAAGAGAGAGUUUUCCAAGGCUAAAGAUUACAAGGAUGUUAUUUACAGUCUCGACAACGACAAGCUUCAUAUUUGUUUACAAACCUGUAUUUUCAAGUUGUGCUAGCCUAGCUACUUGCAAAAAAUAUCCAGUUGGCACAUGCAUUAACGUGUGACAAGAAGUUAGUUAUAUUUGUAAAGUAAAAGAACGAAGUACAUAGCAUGUAAGUUGAUGCUAAAUAUUUGAUCAACAGAGUUAAACAUAAAACCACUGACAAUAUAACGUUGUUCACCAAAAAUUGCAUUUCGUUGAGGGUCAGUAGUGUAGGUUUCAAGAUACGAUUUAUUUUGUUAAAGAAUAUUCUGAUAUUCUAACAAUAAAAUUGGCUCAAUUUGAUAUGUUUCUCUCUCUUUUUUUGUUUCUGUUUUCCCUUUCAUUUGAUGCUUUGUUGUGCUAUUGCUAAGUUUAUCUUAGAGACCAGGGAUGCUUAGCAAGUUUCUUCACCUGCCCUUCUUCCCAUGUACUAACUAGGGAUACCAUGUCAGAAUCUUAGAUAAGAAUCCCAUGCUUUGUUGUGCUAUUGCUAAGUUUAUCUUAGAGACCAGGGAUGCUUAGCAAGUUUCUUCACCUGCCCUUCUUCCCAUGUACUAACUAGGGAUACCAUGUCAGAAUCUUAGAUAAGAAUCCCAACCCAAUCAAACUAUGACAUCUGUAAGUAUUCAAAAUUGGAAUUUGCAUUGUGAUAGUUGAGUGGAAGAAUCGAUUAAGGCUUGAGUGGAAGACAAACUUCAGUGGAGGAAAGUAAUUAAUUAGACCAUUAUUUGUUGGUUUGAUGAGAAAAGUUUGCUGGUGAUAGUCCAUAAUCUUUGUCCGACCAGAAAAUAAGAAAAGUUGUCUUGUACCAUUUCUGCCAGUGUGGGUCCCACCCACCCCAUGCGAGUAAUUUGAAGAAGUCCACCGACAAUUUCCCAAAAGCUUUGGCGUCCAACUUUGCCGACCCCAUCCCCAUGUGAGGCCAUAGAAAAGUUUUCAGCCACAAUCAAAUAAGGAACAGUCCUUGAAAAGAGAGGGUUUUCCAAGGCCAAGAUUACAAGUUCAUGUUAUUUACAGUCUCAAAAAGCUUCCAUACUUGUUUACAAACCUGUAUUUUCAAGUUGUGCUAGCCUAGCUAUUUGCAAAUCUUGGAAUAUUUUACUUCAUCCAAAUCCCUUGAAGUCUGCAGAGAAGAUAAAAGACAUGGCUUUGAUUGGAGAGGCUCUUAUCUCUGCUUCCGUCCAGGUGUUGUGCGACAGAAUUACUUCACCCGAGUUCGUUGACUUAUUUCGGCACAAGAAACUCGAUGAGCCACUCCUCAGGAAGCUGAGGACGACACUGUUGGCCUUGAACUUGGUGCUCAAUGAUGCAGAGGAGAAGCAACUUGUGAACCGAGAUGUGAAAAAGUGGCUUGACGAGCUCAAACAUGCUGUCUUUGAUGCGGAGGACUUACUGGAUGAGAUUGACACUGAAGCUUUGAGAUGCAAGCUGGAAGAAGGUGAAGAUCAAACUCACAAAUUUACCAAUAAGGUGCGGAACUUGCUCUUUUCUUCUCGUAGUCAUUUUUAUCAGAGCAUGAAUGAUAAGAUAAAAGAGUUACUAGCAAGGUUAGAAAACUUUGUACAACUGAAAAGUGCUCUUGGUCUGGGAGAAGUUGCUGGGAGGAAGGUUUCGCAAAGAACUCAAACAACCUCCUUGGUUCUUGAACCUUAUGUAUAUGGUAGAGAUGAAGUCAAAGAAAAGUUAUCAAAAGUUUUGCUAUCUGAUGAAGCAGGCAAGGAUCCUGUGUCUUUCCUCACCAUUGUUGGAAUGGGUGGGGUUGGCAAGACAACCCUUGCUCGAAUGCUUUACAAUGACGAUAAGGUGAAAGGGCAUUUUAAACUUAAAGCUUGGGCUUGUGUUUCAGACUACGAUGAUUAUAUUAAAAUUACUAAAACUCUCCUUGAGGCAGUCACUUCAAAGCCUUGUAACACGGCAAAUCUGAAUUUGCUUCAAGAAGAUCUAAGAGAGCAAUUGAAGGGAAGGAAAUUUUUAUUUGUGUUGGAUGACCUAUGGAAUGAGAAUAAUGAGGAUUUGAACUACCUUAGAGCUCUUUUUAUUACUUUAGGAACAAUGGGAAGUAAAGUCAUUGUAACAACACGGAGCAAAAAUGCAGCAUCUGUCAUGCAAAAUGUUCAUAUUCAAUACUUAGAACCAUUGUCGCAGGAGGACUGCUGGUUAUUACUUGCAAAACAUGCAUUUGGAAAUGUAAAGUGUAGUGCACAUUCAAACUUGGAAGAUAUUGGAAACCAAAUUGCACGCAAGUGCAAAGGGUUGCCUUUAGCUGCACAAACACUUGGGAGUUUGUUACGUUGCAAUAUGAAUUUCGAGUACUGGAAUAGAAUACUAAAUGAUAGUUUUUGGGACCACCCCUAUGAUAAAACUAACAUUCUUCCGGCUCUAGGGUUGAGUUACCAUUAUCUUCCUACUCAGUUGAAACGAUGCUUUGCUUAUUGUUCAAUUUUUCCAAAGGAUUAUGAGUUUGAAAAGGAAGAUAUAGUUCAAUUAUGGAUUGCAGAAGGUAUAAUUCCACAAGCUGAGAAUGGAAAUAGGAUGGAAGCAUUGGCUAGAAUAUACUUUGAUGAGCUGUUAUCACGAUCGUUGUUUCAAAAGUCAAGUAAAUUCAGCUUCAUUAUGCAUGAUCUCAUUAAUGACUUGGCUAUGUUCAUGUCUCAGGGGUUUUGCCUUAGGCUCGAAUAUGGGGUAUCCCAUGAAGUUAAAAGAGCUCGUCAUUUGUCAUAUGCUAGGGGAGCAUUUGAUGCUGCUCCAAGAUUUGAACCAUUAUAUGAGGCUAAAUGUUUGCGGACCUUCCUACCUACCUCUUUAAAUCCAUAUAGAUUUUAUGAAAGAUUUUUUGUAAGUAAAAAAGUUCUACAAGAUUUGUUGCCAUCACUAAGAUGUUUACGGGUGUUAUCAUUGUCACGUUAUCAAAAUGUUACUGUGUUACCUGAUUCUAUUGCAAACCUCAUUCACUUGCACUACUUGGAUCUUUCCCAUACCGCAAUUAAAAGGUUACCUGGGGUACUUUGCAAUCUCUUCAACUUGCAGACAUUACUAUUGUCAAAUUGUUCCUCACUCCAUGAAUUGCCUGCAGACAUUAGAAAAUUGAUUAAUUUACAGAAAUUGACAUUGGGCGGUUGUAGUUCUCUUAAUAAAUUGCCUGCAGGCAUGAAGGAGUUGACUAAUUUGCAUCAUCUUGAUGUCAGUGGAACUGAAAUAGUAGAGAUGCCGGUGCAAAUGGGUAGACUGAAAAAUUUGAGAACAUUGACUGCAUUUGUUGUGGGCAAAUCUACUGGGUCAGGCAUAAGAGAACUGAGCGAGUUCCCGCAACUUCAAGGAAAACUAUCAAUUUUGAAGCUACAAAAUGUAGUUGAUGCGAGGGAUGCACUGCACGCCAAUAUGAAGCUCAAGACAGAUCUCAAGGAGUUAGAGUUUUCAUGGGGUGCGCAGGAUGCUGAUGAUUCCCAAAAGGAGAAAGAUGUACUUGACAAGCUCCAGCCUUGCGUGAAUUUGGAGAAAUUAACCAUUGGAUUCUAUGGUGGAACCAAUUUUCCGAAUUGGUUAGGAGACUCGUCUUUUUCUAACAUACAAGUCAUGCAUCUCAGUGACUGUAGUUAUUGUUGGUCGCUCCCACCAGUUGGACGGCUGUCGGCACUCAAAGAGCUCUGUAUAAAAAGAAUGAAGUCUUUGAGGACGAUUGGCGUUGAAUUCUAUGGCAGAGAUGGAGCUUAUCUGACUCAGCCAUUUCGAUCUCUGGAGAAGCUAGAGUUUAUAGAGAUGCCGGAGUGGGAGGAAUGGGUACCAAGUGGAAGUGCAAGUGGUAGUGAAUAUGGUCCAGACUUUCCUCAUCUCCAGGAGCUGAUUCUAAACGAGUGUCCGAAGCUAAGAGGAAGUUUGCCUUGUGAGUUGCCUUGCUUGAAGAAGCUUACGGUGUAUGGGUGUAAGGUUUUACAUGAUGGAAGGGCCGCUACCGCAACUACCAAUAGUCUUAACUAUAAAUCUCUGGAAGAAUUGGAUAUAAGGGGUGGAUGCCAAACUCUGUUAUCAUUAUUAGAGACAAAGCUCCUGUCCCGACUUAAGAUUGAAAAUGUUGACGUACAGUGCUUGCCCAACUGCAAUCGUCUUCAACGUUUGACUCUUUUGAAUUGUCCAACGCUGUCGUCAUUCCCUAAAGAUGGCCUACCCACUACAUUGACAUCACUUACUAUACUCAAUUGUAGGAGAUUAGAAUUCCUACCUCAUGAGAUGUUGGCCAAAUUAACAUCGCUUGACUAUUUGGGCAUACAAAGUAGCUGUGAUUCAAUGAGGUCCUUACCGUUGGGCAUUUUUCCCAAAUUGACGACGCUUCAAAUUCUUGGUUGUGAGAAUCUGGAAUCUUUUUCCUUGAUUGAAGAAGAAGGAGCUGUUGAGAAUCUCAGCCAUCUCAAUUCCUUGCAAGUCAUUAACUGUCCAAAAAUGGUGUGUUUUCACGAGGGAGAAUUGCCCUUUCCCAACCUGAGUCACUUUGUAGUCAUUGACUGCGAGAAUUUGAAGUCAUUGCCCGAACGCCUUCACACCCUCACUGCCCUUCGAUCUUUGAAUAUAUGGAAUCUUCCGAAUCUGGAGUCAUUUGCAGAAGAUGGGGGUUUGCCUCCCAACCUCCGAUCUUUUAUCAUUAGGAAUUGUAAGAGACUGAGGGCACUUGACUCAGUGGGUUUGCAAGCACUUGUCUACCUUCAGAUCGAUGGAAGUGACCAUGUCUUGGAGACGUUGCUGCUCCCUACCACUCUUCACACUCUCUGCAUCUCUGAUCUAUCAACUCUGAAAUCUUUGGACGGAAAGGGUCUUGGACACCUCACUUCUCUUCAAACUCUAAAAAUUUACAGCUGUCCAAGUCUUCAAUGCCUGCCAGAAGAGGGUUUGCCGCCAUCUCUUUCUCAUCUGAGUAUCCGCUGUUGUCCUACCCUGGAGGAAAGGUAUAAGAAUAAAACGGGACAAGAUUGGGCAAAGAUAUCUCACAUUCCUUGCAUCGAGAUAGGGGAAGAAGUGAUCAUAUAAUAUGAGCUAUUCCAUAUUUCACGCUCAACCCUCAACUCUCAAAUCAAAGUCAGGUGAGGUAUGUGCCUUCUCUUACUUUAAAAAACUGCUUCUCUUCUUCUAAUUGAAUACAAAAACCAAAACACAUAUUCUCUUUCUCUUCCAAAAACCCAAAUACAUGUUGGACAUAGCCCAACGCUGUACUUUCAUAGGUACUGCAUGUAUAUUAUCUUAGUAUCAACAGGUGGUCUUAUGUGGACGAGAGAGAACAUUGAGGAAUUACAAAAUCUUCUUAGUGAAUUAAGCUUGCUUCAGCUCUGUUUGUCAUCCCUCUCAUUUUCUUUGUUAAGCCUUGGUUUUUUAUUAGGAGAUGAAUGCUUUUAUAUAUUGAUGUCGUAGUCAGUCUUCAACCACACUCCGUUUUUAGAAUUCGUUUAUGUUACUAGUGGAGUGCUGCUGUAUUUUAUAUUUCGUUCCUGUAAUGUUUGAUGUUUAGUUUGAGUAGUCUAGCUUAUCCAGUAGAUAACUCGUCCCCUGUUUUGUAAUGUUUUUGUUUCCUCUAAUGAAAGCAGGUUUUACUUAUCUUAAACUUUUAUUUUUAUUUUUAAAUAUCAGUAAUAACUGGGAAAGCUUGCAUCUCCUUAAAUUGCUCAUUCUUACAUCUUUUAUAGUUUGUCGAUCUUGGGCAAGUGGAGAGAGAGGCGUCAAGUGAUACACAACAACCAUUUUCUGUGAGCUAAUUUGAUAAUGAUAAAUGGUAUGCUUUCUUGUCUUAAGCUGUGUGUUCUGCAAUUAUUUAAAACAAAGAGUGCCGCGCUUCAAGUUCGAGGAAAACAGGUAUUUUAGGUUAGCUGUAUAAUUCGUGGUAAAUGCCUUUUUCUAAGGUUCAUUUAGACUCCUAUUACGAUUAAUUUGUUGUUUCUAAUUUGGACUUGUAGGAACAGACCAAAUAUGUUCACACGUGGCAUCGCUCAAGUCAUCAUCAUUUCCGACAGAAAAUCAGCCUUCAAGUGUCUGCUGAGUCAAUGAACCUUUCUAGAUAUAUCAAGUGCAAUGGAAAUUCAUGAGUUACAUAGAGAUUUGUAAACAUUUUGAAGAUUGCAACACCUGCAAGUGAGAUAGGUGGUGACGAAAUCAGAGCUGAUCUUGAAGCCUCUGAUGCCCCGGUUGUUGCAAGUUGCACCUGAGAACAUGUUUUUUUGGGGUAAAAAACUGGCAACAUGUUCGGAGCUGGCAAUUCAGUCAGUGAUGAAGUUGAGAAGCAAAGCUCCAGUAAGGAAAUUGGUCGAGGUCGCCACAGGGAU
This 59664-nucleotide long non-coding RNA is filed under the name Prunus persica (peach). RNAcentral describes it as "long non-coding RNA (PPER_LNC001936)". The record is from RNAcentral. Lineage: Eukaryota; Viridiplantae; Streptophyta; Magnoliopsida; Rosales; Rosaceae.